AUGGGAACUUAUUUAAAGAUAACUAUGAAAGAUGUUGGGCUGAAGUGAAAAAAGACUUAGAAAUUUGGUCAAACUUGAAGCUUUCACUGUUGGGUCGUAUUGCUGCCGUAAAAAUGAAUGUAUUGCCUAGAAUGUUGUUUUUGUUUCAAACAUUGCAAAUUGUGGAUAAAAUGGACUGUUUCAAGAGGUGGCAGAGAGAUAUUUCUAGAUUUGUCUGGCAGGGCAAGAAGCCCAGAAUAAAAUUUAAAAUACUAACAGAUGCAAAGGAUAGAGGUGGAUUUGCCCUGCCAGACCUUAAACUUUACUAUGAAUCAGCAGCUUUCUGCUGGUUGAAAGAAUGGCUGCUUCUUGAAAACACUGACAUUUUGGAUUUAGAAGGUUUUAACAACGUAUUUGGAUGGCAUGCAUAUCUGUGGUAUGACAAGGUCAAAGCACAUAAAGCAUUUAAAAACCAUAUUGUCAGGAAAGCACUAUUUAAUGUUUGGAUAAGAUACAAGGAUUUACUGGAAAAUAAAACUCCAAGGUGGCUGUCACCAAUGGAAGCGAAGGCCUUGAAAAAGCUCAAUAUGGAGGUCAAAUGGCCAAAAUAUUGGGAAAUUUUGGAACAAGAUGGAGACAGAUUGAAAUUGCAGAGUUUUGAAAAACUAAAAAAUAAAGUGCGAGACUGGCUUCAUUAUUAUCAGAUAAUGGAGGCAUACAAUUUGGAUAAGAAAAGAAUCCGUGACCAGGGAGAAGAGUCGGUGGAAGAAGAUUGGAAGAAAUUUAAAGAUUAUUUACAGAAAUAUUGCAAAAUUAAUGAAUGUUAGAGUGAUGUUGGAUUGAAGUUAAGUGGCUUCUAGCUGUACAGGCUUUAAAGUUAUAAAUAUAUCAAGAUUAAGGAUUAGGAUUAAAAAGGUUAAAAGAAUGGAAAAAUUGGUUUUUAAUAGAUUAAAACUUAAUGUUAUAAUAUAUUAAGAUUAAGGAUUGGGAUUAAAAAAGAGGGAAAGAAAUUGCUGGAUUAACUAACUGAAUUGGAAUACAAAAGAGGGAGGUAUGAGGAGGUCCGGGAAACAAGUAAAUGUAAAAGAAGUCAUGAAAAGACGGAAUUUUUUUUUAACUGUUUUUUCUUUUUACUUUUUUUUUCUUUUUUCCUUUUGUAUUUUGUAUUGUGUAUUUUUCUUUUUAUUCUUAAAUUUUUCUUUUUUAUUAAUGUGAUUCUUUCUUUGUGAAACUAUAAUAAAUAUUAUUUUUUUAAAAAAAACAACAAUCUACAAUUCUAUGAUUUUAUGUGUCAGACCACUGGAUCUUCUAGCUCAUGGGUAGACGGGCAACAGCUCUCCAGGACAUAUUUGCCCAUCCCUAACAACAACAGACUCAUUCUCAGAGGAAUGUGUACAUGCACACAGGGUGGUGGUUUUGGGGGUGGGUUUUUUGUUGUUUUGUUGUUGUUGUUUUUUUUUGUUUUGCAUCAAUUCAUGUUCAAAGGUGCUAACAAGAAGAGUCCUGCUGGACUGGGUGGAGACCUGAAGAAUCCAGCAUCAUGUUUCCCAAACAUGAGAAAACUCCUGGUUCAGGUCUGAUUGGAAGAGUGCAGGCCUGUUGCAUCCUCCUGAUGCCCCACUGCUUUGUGAAGCUGGGAUGUGGGAUUGGACUCACAAAGCAGUGUGGGGCUGGCAGGGGCAGCAUGAGCAGCAAAAAUCGCCCUAGAAAAAACUGGGCCGGGGGCAACAGCCCCCUCACCCCAUGCAUGCUAUGUGUGCUGGUCCCGUGGGCUAACUGAGAGGCGAGGUCCGAGUCCAGUCCGAGGUUGAAGGUGCAGUAAGGAGGCAGUCCAAAGAAGCUGAAGCUGGAUGCAGGGCAGGUAGGCAGGUGAGGUCAGGAGCUCCGGCAGGAUAGCAGGACAGGGUUCAGGCAGGAACUGACAACCAACAAAGUUGCUCCCGCAACUUGGGACUGAGGCUGGCUGGCUUUUAUCUGCCCCGAGGCACAGGGCAGCCCUGAUCCUCAGGUGACUCGCCUCUCCUGGCCUGGAGGCGAGCACUCCUCCUGCGGGAACUUAGUUCCCUCCGCCUCUCUGCCCUGAGCCUCUGCAGCUCAGAAGAAGCUGGAGGGUUACCGGACCCAGAGGCAACCUCAGCUUCCCCUGAUGGGGCUGAGAGUGGAGCACCUGCAGGCAAUAGGUCCUCCACCCCCUCAGGAGCAAGAGCAGACUCAGCUGGUGCCUGCACCUGAGGAUCCAGCACAGGUGAGGACCCUUCAGGCUCAUGCCCCAGCCCCGGGUCUGCUGGUUCUGGAGGCGGAGAAUCCUGUGCAGGCUGGGAUUCCUUAGGUUCAGCAUCCGAGUCCGAAUCCCAGGCCAUCACACUAUGCCUCUGCUUGGUGCAACAGCACUGUCCUCAUUUGCAAUUGUCAGCAAGCAUUCAGAGCCACUUCCUCUGGCCAUGGAGAUAGAACAUCGCCAUCAAGGCCAAUGCAGACCCAGCCAACUGCAGCAGCAAAUCCAGACAAUCAGAGAUUCUCAGGGUGGCUUGAGAAUCAUAGAAUCACAGAGCUGGAAGGGGCCAAGAGGGUCAUGGUGUCAGGAACUUGGCCCCCCAGAGUGUAGCAGAAGAGUUGGACUCAGAAAUUGAGCUAAGUGAGCAAGGGGCCGACUGCAGCUGAGACCUGUUUGUCAGAGUUUAGAGAGGACAGCCUAAACUGAACAAUAUGCAAAUGAGUCAUUGGGGUAACGACACCUUGCACUCCACAGAGAUGCUGCAGCAUUGAAUCUGAGGGCUGUGGUAACAUGGGCCAGAAGAAACGCAUACUUUGUGGAGUUGUUGAGCAAAGAAUGGCUUGUCCUUGACCCACCUCUCUCUUUUUAUUGCUGGCAUUUAUACAUAGUUACAUUAUGUUUCCUCCGAGGCAAGCCGGGGAAAUCCAAUACAGUGGUGCCUCGCAAGACGAAAUUAAUCCGUUCCGCGAGUCUCUUCGUCUUGCGGUUUUUUCGUCUUGCAAAGCACGGCUAUUAGCGGCUUAGCGGCUAUUAGCGGCUUAGCGGCUAUUAACAGCUUAGUGGCUUUAAGAAAAAGGAAACAAACUCGCAAGAACUCGCAAGACGUUUCGUCUUGUGAAGCAAGCCCAUAGGGAAAUUCGUCUUGCGGAACAACUCAAAAAACGCAAAACCCUUUCGUCUAGCGAGUUUUUCAUCUGGCGAGGCAUUCGUCUUGCGGGGCACCACUGUAAACAAUAAACUCCUCAGAUUUUCCCAGUGACAGAAAUGCUUUUUAUCUCAGCUUCUGAAACACAAAAGAACCAGAAAUUUAUAGGUCCUGGGUGGGGUACCAUGGAUCCAACUAGACCAGUGACUCCCAAUUAGCUAAGUACUGCAGGAACACACACACCCCGCCCGCCGUUUUUUCAAAAUCCAAGCCAUGGACUCCCUACUCUUGAAAUUUUUGAUAUACGCAUCUAUGUUAAUUUUUGUUAUGUGAAUGAACUCCCUGAAUGGGGUCCAUGGACCAUCAGUUGGGAACCACUGAGCUAUACAUCCUUGGCUGUUGUUCAGCAGGCCUUUUUCCACCUGGCCUGGGAGGAUAGGGCCAGGACUGACUCCAGCUACAAAAGCUUAGGAUGCUGAAGAGAACCUUGGAUUGGGGUAUUGUUUAGCGGAGUUUGUUGCAGAAAGGGACUUGUUGCUGUUAUUGAUAUUAAUCUUUAUUUUAAAUCUUACUGUGAUUUAUGUGGAAAUUGUUCAAUUUGGUAGAGUAUUUUUGAUGUUUUAUUUAUUGCUUAUAACUAUUUUUGUAAUUCUGUAUUUUUUCAUGUUGUAGGCUGCCUUGGCCUUGAACUAUGGAGAGGCAGCCUACCAAAAAAAAGGUGUAUAAUAUAUGCAUGUAGACCAACCUGCUACACUGAAGCAUUAUUGGGUAUCCAAAACAACACUGGGUUUGGUCUGUUUGUAUUUUGAGAAAGGAAUGAUAGUCUGGGGGGGGGGUUAAAAUAUUAGGAUGGGGAAAGAAUGACUUGGGAUGGGAGGCAGCAGGAAAUGAGACUGUAGAGUUUGAUUCUACUCUGGUGCUAGAAGAUAUGCUGGAGCUCAGAGGAAGAGCAUCUUGCUUUUUAUGCAGAAGAUCCCAGGUUCCAUCCUUGGCAUCUCUAGGUUGGGCUGGAAGAGAAUCCUGACUGGAAACCUGCCAGCAGUGUAGACAACACUGGGGAGACGGCCCAAUGAUACCUCACCUCUCCCACAGUUUGCAUCUUUCUUUGCCCACACACAGGGCCAUCUUUAGUAUAUGUGCCGCCAGGGUGCAAAGAUCCACCCAGCUCCCCAUAGUGCACCCCCGGGUAAAGACGGCCCUGCCACUAUCCAAUAUAAGUAUGCAUCGGGCUCUACUGCUGCAGCCCUUCAACCCCUGUGGCUCAACCAAACCCAGUGGGAUUACUCAAGAGGAAACAGUGGAUGAGCCCCGGGAUCGGGUCGGACCUAUCCACGCAGAAGCCAGUGGAAAGCGCCACGCACGCACGCCUCGCAGCUUAAAAGCCCCCGGCUCCAAAACAGGCAAAUUAACCCUUAACACAGGAGCAGAGACAAAACCUUGGUUGCGUUUGCGCACAAAUGCUCCACCCACGAUCAGAGGACCUCCAUAUAAAUGCCAAGGAAAGUCCUGUGUUCUCUCAAGCAUUUCAUGAGCCCUUCUUGUUCCCCCUUCCAGCUCCUUGAAGAAGCCCUUUGUGCAGAUCCCUAUGCACGGAACAAAUAUUUUCCUGAAAUGGCACCGUCCCCUCCCUGCCACCAUCCAGAGCAGCUAACUUGCAAGAGCUGACCCCAAUUGCUGUUAAGGAAGAGGAGCUCCCCCCUUCCCCUCUCCUUCCUUCUCCUCCUCACACACCCCACCGCCCCGCGCAUCCCAGUAAAGGCUAGGGCGAAAUAUCACCCUAUCAUUCAAAAGGAGUUGUUCCAGGAGAAAGACGGGCUUAGCUGAGCAGAUUUAGUGUUUUCCAGAUGCACGGCUCGUAAUGUUUCAAAUGGAGCAGCUGCAGCCUAGAGAGUGAUUGAGAGUUUUACAUAUGGUUUGUAGCCGCCCAGAGCACUGCCUCAUCUGUAAGGAAUAGAGGGGACACAGUCCAAAGAGAUAGGGCUGUCUGCACAGAAGGAGGGGACUGCUCUCUCUCUCCUUUCUCCCACCCCUUUUCUGUAAAGCAGGAGAUACCUGGGGCGCUGUGCAGGGAGGGGGAGCCAUUGGCUUCCAAAGGCAGAUAUGCAAGUGAAGCUGCGCCCUGAAUGCAAAGGUUUCCGAAGAGGGGAAGGUCAAAGGCAAAUUGCCAAGUAAUUGGCCCAGAUAUGAUAGCUCCCAAAGGGCUACAGUGCAUAUUUAAAAACGAAACCAACAAAACAAGGAGAAAAAGAAAAUGUUGCCUUCUGCUGCAAGAUAACCAUCUCUCUUUGCUAGUCCACACCACAAAACUCACCCCAGGCAAAGGUGUUUGCAAAGGGGCCCACAGCAAUGCUGGGAUUGCUUAAGGUCUGCCGCAGAGCUUUUGCAACAGAAGUUGCCAAAUUACCGUUUGAAGCGGCUGCAUCCCAGCGACAUGAGGCGAAAGGGAGGCAGGGUCCGUGGGCUGGGAGAGAAAGGCCUUUCUGGAGGCCCAUAACAUAAUCUUAGGCGGCUUCAGCAGCGGGUGCCUGGCGCCCCCCUGAAUGUGGUGCCCAGGUGCCCCACACCCCUUGUACCCCUGGGCUGUCUUUAACAGCCCUGCCCACACAGAAAUAGAAGCAGUUCACAAAAAGGAUAAGGAAAAGUGGGACUUGCAACAGAGUGUUGCAAUGCAGACUUGUCUAGCCAGCCAGCCGUGCCUCUCCCCCCCCCCCCCCCGAUGCUGCAUUUUCAUUUCCUGCAACAGACAUUCAGCAAUUUGUGAUUCCUGGGUUAUCUCGUGGCUUGUUUGGCUCUUGCUCCCUUAGCUGUACCUUCUCUCUCUAUAUAUAGAUAUUCAUUCUGCAACCUCUGAGGCCAUUCCUGUUUCUCAUGCACCCAUUUUGGCUUCAGUCCUGUUGGCACUUACUAGCUCAUCUUAGCACUAUUCUGGUGUAAUAGGAAUUAGUACGGCAUAGAGGUUAGAGUGUUGGAUUAGGCUCUGAGGGACCAGGGUUCAAAUCCCCACUUGGUCAUGAAGCUCAUUUGGGUGACCUUGGCCCAGUCACUGCCUCUCAGCCUAACCCACCUCACAGGGCUGUGUGGACAGGAACAACAAGGUAUGGCUUCUUGGACGAAAGGUGGUCUAGAAAUGAGACAAAUAAACAAACAAAGGAGUGAUAUAAACUGAAGGCUAAAACGGGAAUUUGCAUUUUCCGCAAUUAAUUCAAAUUUCAUAGGGGAGCUGUUCUCCUACAGGGGCCCUUAAAUGCUUUCCACAUAACCCUGUUUAGUCUGCCCAUACAUUCACAGAGUGAUGGUGUCUUGCUAUCAAGUAAACUAAGAGAGCGAACACAUUUAGGAAGAACCAUCUCGGAACUAAUUGUUGAAAGUUUAUGUCAUCUCAUGGUGAACAAAGAAAGAAAGAUAAUGAAAGGAAUUAGUCUGAAAGCAAUAGAGAAUGAUUUGGGGGUGUGGUGAAUCAUAUGACAUGCUUUUACAAAACCAAUGGUCUGAAAUGCUUUAGUUCAAUACUCUGUGAAGUUCUGAUCUCUCAAUGAGAAUAUAUAUAUAUAUGUGCGUGCUGGGGCAUGCAAUAAGAUCCCAUUCCUACCUACCACAACAAGCCUCUAAGGGGGAGAAACAGAUAGGGGCUAUGAUGCUUGGCCUUGUGUUUGAGCCCCCAAGGCUCUUUGCAACAUCUCUACUUUUGAUCCCAUCCAGCCAAUUCUGUAGGCCCAGUAGCCUGAUGUCAAAUAUCUCGCCACUCUUUUGGAACAGCGAAGCAGAGAAAUAUCAAGGGUAUUUAGGAUAAUAGCAGCCCCACCCUUUCCCCCAGUGCAGCUUCUGAAUCAAUAAGAAACCAAUAACCUAAAAAAAGGAAAUGUGUGGUUUUCUUCUGCUGUCCCCUUCCCUCCUACAUAAUCCUAGACCCCUUUGAGAGUUAGCUAUUUUUCAAAUGCUGAUCAAUGCCUCUGAGCGCUGAAAAACUUGGCAGAACAGUUUGGCACUCCCCCCCCCCACCUUUUUUAACAUUGCUGAUGUGCAAAAUGCCCCAGAUUUGCUUUGUUUUCAGAUUGAGGCUCCAGGCACGGAGAGCCUGCUGGAACACACUCCUCUGCUCCUCUGCAAUGUGCUUGCACAAGCACCGCAAGCAAUAGUCUGCCUUUAAGUGCCAUCUCCUGCCUGCACGGCUUGUCAAAACUCCAAUGCUUCUAAAGAUAAGUAAACAUUCACCUGGAAGCGAAGAUACUAACAAUCUGCAGCUCUUUUUCAUCUUACUUUGGUUGGAAGCAGCUUUGAAUGACGGGAAAACCUUCCUCAUUCCAGAUAAACCGAACUGGCUCUUGCACUGGCCAAUGUGUCCAUCAUUUAUUGUGCUGGAUGCAACGCAUGCAGCAGAGAGAGGGAAAAUGUAGGCACAUGCCUAGGAAGUCAAAGCAAACAGUCAUCCGAGAUUUACUGAUUUUGUUUAUAGUGCCUCUUUCAGAUUCAAAGACAGGGUUUAGGACAAAGGAAUAACCCAGCUCUACAUUUCUAUGCUCUCAGACUAUUUGCCCAUUGAGGCCUAGGGAUGGACAACUGUGUCAAUUUCGCUUUCUUUCAGUUCCUCGGUUUUCCAAAUUUAAUUUUCAUUUCCACAUCAGUUUGCAUUAAGACCUCAUGAAAAUUCUUCAGCAUUUUAGUGCAAAUUUCCCCCAAUACAGUGGUGCCUCGCAAGACGAAAUUAAUUCGUUCCGUGAGUUUUUUCGUCUAGCGAAUUUUUCGUCUUGCGAAGCACGAAAUCCCAUAGGAAUGCAUUGAAAUUCAAUUAAUGCGUUCCUAUGGUCAAAAAAAGUCCAAUCAAAGCCAAAUUCGGUACAACAAGAGUUUAUUAACUGCUCUUUAAAGUCACACAUACUUUAAGAGAAUUGAAGGAACAAUAAAUUAAGUUUCUAAACAUGACAGGAAAAACAUUUAAAAAUCAAAAAAGGGUACAUUACAUUUUCUAAGACUCUGGGGGACCACUCGAAGAAGGUUCCUCUUCCACUCUUUGCUUCUUGCUGAGGAACCUGUCCAUGGUCUGCUGCUUCACCCGCCGUUUCAGCAGCUCCCUGAGAGGCGACAUGACCGUCGUAUCAAAAAUGUUCGCUUGGUCAUGUGCCACGUGCUUGUCAGGGUGGUGCCGCUCUGCAAAAGCCUGCACCUCAUUCCACUUCUGGCAAAUGUCCCUCAGUUCUUUGGAGGACAGCCGUUCCUCAGUUGCUUCCUCCUCUUCCAGCGAGGCCUGCUCCUGCGCAACCUCUGACUGCAGUGCAACCAGCUCCUGGGUGGUCAGCUCGUGGUCGUGCUCCUCCACCAGCUCGCAAACGUCCUCCUCUGUGACCUCCAGGCCCAAGGUCCUCCCUAAGGAAACAAUGUCCUGCACCACUGUCGACUCUGGUGCAUCAGAGUCACUUGGUGCCACACAGUCCGGCCACAGGCUGCGCCAAGCGCAAUUCAAAUUCCUCUGGCUGAUCCCCUUCCAGGCCGUGGUGAUCAUCUUCAAGCAGGUGACGAUGUCGAAGUGGUCCUUCCAGAAUUCCCGCAGGGUGAUGGUGGUGCAAUCAGUCACCUCGAAGCAUCGCCUGAAAAGCUCCUUGGUGUAGAGUUUCUUGAAAUUGGCGAUGACCUGCUGAUCCAUCGGCUGGAGCAGUGGCGUGGUGUUAGGCGGCAGGAACAUGAUGUUGAUGAAGCUGAACUCCUCCAACAAGUCCACCUCAAGGCCUUUAGGAUGAGCAGGAGCAUUGUCCAUCAGAAGCAAAGCCUUCAGCGGCAGGUCAUUGUCCAGCAGGUACUGUUUGACAGCAGGGCCAAAGGCAAGAUUGACCCAGUCCACAAACAGCACACGUGUGACCCAAGCCUUGCUGUUGGAUCGCCACAUGACACUCAGCCGCUCCUUGUCGACCUUGUGUUUCUUGAAGGCCCGUGGGUUCUCCGAGUGGUACACCAGCAGGGGCUUGAUCUUCAGGUCGCCGCUUGCGUUGGCACAGAAGAGCAGGGUCAGAUGGUCCUUCAUGGGCUUGUGGCCAGGCAACUUGGCCUCCUCCUGAGUGAUGAAAGUCCUUUGGGCAUCCUCUUCCAAAACAGCCCGGUCUCGUCGCAGUUGAAGACCUGCUGUGGAACGUAGCCCUCCGUCUUCACAACCUCCAGGAACUCCAAGGCAAAGUCUUCAGCCGCAGGAACAUCAGAACUGGCAGCCUCUCCAUGCCUGACCACGCUGUGGAUUCCGGAUCUUGCCUUGAACCGGUCAAACCAGCCUCUGCUUGCCUUGAAGACUUCUGGCUCGGCCGAGGUUCCUGGCUGUUCCCGGAUGAGGUCUGCGUGCAAGGCCUUGGCCUUCUCACAAAUCACGGCCUCAGUCACUGUGUCCCCUGCACGCUGCUUCUCUUCUAUCCAGAUGAGGAGCAACUUCUCGACCUCCUCCAGAACAGCUGGGCGGUUCUUCACGAUCCUGGUGACUCCCUUGGCUGCAUCAGUCGCAAGGAUCUUCUCCCUCAUCUUCAGGAUGGUCCCGAUGGUCGAUGGGUUCCUGCCGUACUCCCUGGCGAGGUCCGUCACACGCAUUCCACCGUCGUGCUUCCGGAUGAUCUCCUUCUUCAUCUCCAGCGUCACCUUCUCCUUCUUCCUCUCGCCGGCCUCCGCAGCAGCAGCAGUCUUCUUGGGUCCCAUGGCAGCACAGCUGUUACCUUUGUAAAACUCAGAAAAAGAAAAAAAAAAUCAGCAAUUCAAACCCACAACCAAGUCCUUGAAUUCCAAACACCCAACCCAAAAUCCAAAGACCCCAAAAAAAGUUUUAAAAGUUUAACUUACGAAAUGGCUGCAAAUCACCAAAGUCUUCAAAAUCCUCAAAUGGCUGCAAAAGAAAUUUUGGGAAAGCUUUAAAAAUCACCAAAGUCUUCAAAAACCUCAACUGUUCCCCCAGCCCCUCCCCAACUGUUGCAAAUCCCUCCCCAACUGUUGCAAACCCCUCCUCAACUGUUCCCCCAGCCACCCAGCACACAGAAAUUCAAAACCCAGAAACUUUUUCAAAAAAAAACAACAUGGCCCAAUGGUUACAGAAAACCAUAAAAAUUCAAAAAGCACACAAGCUCCCAGAUUCCUGCAAACCCCUCCUCAACUGUUCCCCAGCCACCCAGCACACAGAAAUUCAAAACCCAGAAACUUUUUCAAAAAACAACAACAUGGCCCAAUGGUCACAAAAAUCAUAAAAAUUCAAAAAAAACCACACAAGCUCCCAGAUUCUUGCAAACACCUCCCCAGCUGUUCCCCAUCCACCCAGCACACAGAAAUUUAAAACCUAGAAACUUUUUCAAAAAAACAACAUGGCCCAAUGGUCACAAAAAUCAUAAAAAUUCAAAAAAGCACACAAGCUCCCAGAUUCUUGCAAACCCCUCCCCAGCUGUUCCCCCAUCCACCCAGCACACAGAAAUUUAAAACCCAGAAACUUUUUUCAAAAAACAACAACAUGGCCCACUGGUCACAAAAAAAUCAUAAAAAUUCAAAAAAAACCACACAAGCUCCCAGAUUCUUGCAAACCCCUCCCCAGCUGUUCCCCCAUCCACCCAGCACACAGAAAUUAAAAACCCAGAAACUUUUUGAAAAACAACAACAUGGCCCAAUGGUCACAAAAAAAUCAUAAAAAUUCAAAAAAAAGCACACAAGCUCCCAGAUUCUUGCAAACACCUCCCCAGCUGUUCCCCCAUCCACCCAGCACACAGAAAUUCAAAAUUCAAAGCCAGAUUUUUUUAAAAAAAAAAAAUAAACAUGGCCCAAUGGUCACAGAAAAUCAUAAAAAUGCAGAAAAAAACCACACAAGCUCCCAGAUUCUUGCAAACCUCUCCCCAACACCAAGUCCUUGAAUUCUAAACACCCCAACCCAAAAUCCCAAAAACCCCAAAAAAGUUUUAAAAGUUCAACUUACCAAACAGCUGUAGAAGAAGUUUUGGAAAAGCUUCAAAAAUCCAGCAAACUCUUUAAAAAGCUCAGAAAGGCCACCACACCGCGUGCAAUGUGUUGCUCCUCGAGGUCAAGUCGCAACUGCACCUCUUCCAGCAAUGCACCCUGGGUUUUAACGGUUUUACGAAAAGGAAACAAACUGGCAAGACGUUUCGUCUUGCGAAGCAAGCCCAUAGGGACAUUCGUCUUGCGAAGCAACUCGAAAACGAAAAAACCUUUCGUCUUGCGAGUUUUUCGUCUUGCGAGGCGUUCGUCUUGCGGGGCACCACUGUAUACAAAUAUUUGUAUGCAAUUUUGUCAAACGUGCAGAUUGCUGCAAAGCAAUUCCUCCUCCCCAUAUAAUGCAUUUUUGUAUGAUAUUUUUCACCAACAUCUGCAUUUUCAGGCACACUUUGCCCUAAAAAUGCAUUUUGUGUGUGUUACUUCUCUAGAGUACUGCAUUGCAAGGUUCAGAAAAGCGGACCUUUCCAAAGAUGGCUGCAUUUUGGGUUACAGAUUGUUUUGGAAAGUGUGAAUUUGGUAGGUGCAUCUUUAAAUGAAAAAUGAAUCCAAUUUCUUCUGCAUUCCUAUCUAGACCUAUGUUUUCUAUUCUUUUUUUCUUUUAAUGUGUGGUGACAGAUGUCUUUCCCAUUAUCCCCACCUCCCCAGCGACCUUUUUUCAGCUGCUCUAUUCACUUGCUGUUGACAGGCAGCCCAAGGUGGGAUGAUGUGGCCCCUAUUCUUAAAGAUCCACACUGGCUGCCUCUUUGGUACUGGGCUGACUUUGGCCAGUACCGAAUACAGAGACCAAAUACUUGGAAGGAUCCAAUCCACUAUUACCAAUCCCCAUUCCCAAAGGGCAUAUGUGCUGCAGAAAUCUAAGCAUUGAAAUCUUGGAAAGAACCCGUGGCCCACUCUUUCUUUGUCCUUCAGCAGCUGAGAGGCAGAACAGAAAGCUGUGCAGUUUUCCUCCCUUCCUCACCCUUGAAAAUAAGAAAUAACAAAUCUUCAAAUUUUGUUCAUGCUCUCAGUGCAAACUCACCAGCCCCUCAAGUGAUUACCAAAUAAAAGAGAAAGAUAGGCUUGGCUCAGCACUUGUUCCCAGACCAUCUUCAUGGGCCAUCUGAUCUCAAGUAGCCUGAUCCCACUACCACCAGCAGGAACGAUAUCAAUCAGAGCUGUGCAUUUCCAGAAGAGGCUGGUAAUGGGCACACAGGGCCCCAGCUGUCACCUGGAUACAGGGGCCUAGGAAAGGGGGGUGGGGCCGUCCCGGGGGCUACCAUGGAGGGGGGUGACAAAUUAUCAAGGAACAAUUACUGCCCUAAUGGGGCGGUCCAUAAAAAACUUUUUUAAAAAAAUGCCUGCUCCGAAGGUCUUAUCUUACUACACUAGGGAUUAUAUAGCAAUAUAUGAAAUUUCAUGCAUAUCAGUUAAUAUCUUGACCCUCCUCCAUGAAAAUAGCUGUUUACUUGGCCGUUUCCCUAUGUCGUGAAGGCUGAAAUUUCAAUUCAGUGAAGCAGGGUCAAGAUAUUAACUGAUAUGCAUGAAAUUAUAUAGCUAUAUAAUGCCUAGUGUAGUAAGAUAAGACCUUUGGAGCAGGCAUUUUAAAAGAAAAAAGUUUUUUAUGAAUUGCCCUACUGCCCCACCCUCCGCUUGGCUUCCAGGUUGUGGAAAGUCGGCCUAGGUGAAGAAAAUGAGACGAGGCCGAGUAGAUUAGGCCUUGCCUUGCCUUCGCCCCCUCCUGCCCCCUGCACGCAGCCGAUUUUUCUUGCUUUUACUGGUGUGGUGGUUUUUUGUUUUUGUUUUGGUAAACCACUUUGCAGGUGUUUUUUUUAAAAAAAUUAUUAAAUAAAUAAACAAUAAAUAUAAAUAAAAUAACAAAAGCCAAAACACAAUCCAUCCUGUAGAUUUAAGUAUCUGUCCAUAGUUGCCUACUUGUUAACAGAGGCCCAGAAUCAACAUUCCUUUGUAAGAAAAGAUGAAAUAACGUAAAACCAUUUUUGCAGGCAAAAAUAAUAAAAAAAUCAAUGGGGGGGUGACAAGAAAUUUUCCGCACCGGGUACCACCUGACGUUCCUAUGCCUCUGCCUGGAUACCCCAGAGUGAGAGCAGGUCCAGAGGCAAGGCCAGCUCCAAUCCCAAUCCCUACUAGCUGACCCACUGACCCCCCAGCUAGAACCACUUCCAUCUGGUCUGGGCUGAAUUUUAGCUGUGAAGUAGCAACCCCUGCCAGCACCGGGGGUGGAGUAAAGUUGUUGAGCUCCACCCUCCUGCAACACCCAAAUCAACCAGGAACCGCUGUGCCACCCGCAAGCUCCCCAGAGUCCCAACCCCUGACGCACAGCAGCCACCGUGCCACACUGCAGUAUUGCUGUUGUUGUUGUUAUUAAAUAUUAAUAUUUUCCAAUAUUAUUAUUACAAUAUUAUUAUCCAAAUACACAUACAGUUAUUUAUAGUUGACAAUAUUUUUUAUAAACACACUUUAAAUAUUAUUAUACUUGUCCAUACGAAGUCUAUGCCUGUAAGCAAUCCGUUCAUCAGUUGCACGUGUUGUCAUCUCUUUAGUCCAUUGACUGAAGGGGGCCAUAUAUUUGGCAACAGAAAGGGUACAAAGACUCCAUUUAUGUUGUCCAGUUGUCAAAUUCCAUAUAGUAGGUAUGUAAUUCAAAAUAAGAAUUUCCUCUGAAAAUGCUAAGUUUUUCUACUCAGUCACGUUUCUGAAUCCAAUAUUUUCUCCCAAAACUUAGCAAGCAUAGGACAUUGUAAAAACACAUGUUCCAAAGAAGCGUUAUCUUUAUUACAUCUCCAUAGCACGCUGUCUUAGACAAUCCUUUUCUAAAUAAACAUAACAGAGUCCAAUAAAUUCUAAAUAUUGUUUUCUGUUGUGUAAGUUGUAUUUUAAGAUCCACAGGCACCUUUACUACAGAAGCUAAGACACUUCCCCACUGUCGACCUGGAACCCUAGUACCCACGGGACUCCUUCUCCUGGUAUGCCCCACGGAGGACUUUAUGGUCCUCAAACAAUAACGUUGUGGAGGUCCCGGAUCUCAAGGAGAUUAGGCUGGCCUCGACCAGGGCCAGGGCCUUUUCGGCCCUGGCCCCGAUCUGGUGGAACGCUGUGUCGCAAGAGAGAGUCCCUGUGGGACUUGACAUCUUUCCGCAGGGCCUGCAAGAUGGAGCUGUUCUUUUACAAGACCCUGCAUAUAAGUGGCCUCUCUAACUCUGCUCACCGGCUUAUACAAAUAGCUGCGCCUGGUGAGUAAUUAAGGUUCCCAACCCCUAUAGUUACAGUUACAAUUUGCAGGUAGCCAUCUGAUCUUAUUUUGAUUUUAAUCUGAUUUUAAGUUGUAUUUCAGUCGACUGCUGAAUUUUAUGUCUUAAUUUUAUUUUUUUAUGUUAGCCGCCCUGAGCUCGGUUCUGGUUGGGGAGGGCGGGAUAUAAAUAAAAAUUAUUAGUAUUAUUAGUAUUAUUAGUAUUAUUAUUACUGUAAUAUCCAGUUCUUUCUUCCACUCAUUAAUUAAAAUCAGCACAUCAAAUUGAUGUAUUGAUAACAAAUAUCUCUUAAAAAAGGAUCAUGGACUUUUUAAUUUCAAAGGACUGGACCAAAUCUUCUACCAUCAGCUGGGUGAGGACUGCAGGGCCUGCUCCCUUCCAGGGCCUUUUCCAACUGGCCCAGGGGGCGUGGCCCAGGCCCUUAUUUGGAACAAACUUUUGGGGAAGUGUGGGAAGUGUUUUGCCAUUGCUUCCCUGUUCCAGGUGGUUAAUGUGCUUUAAAAUGUCCUCAAGCAGUCGGUGGCAAUUUAAAUUUUUAUUUCUUUUUUUCCUUUGUUGGGGGUGGGUGGGUGGGAUGGAUAUUUGGUUGGGGAUUAAUUUUAGUAUAAUUGUUCUGUUCCUUUUUUGUUGUUGUUUUAUUGGUUCUGUAUAGUUUGUGUUUUGUUUUUAAGGGGCGGGAUCAGGGCUGCCUGGGAGUGGGGCCCCAGCCAACACGAUGGCUGGGACAAGUUCCACGGGGGGGAGCACUGGGACAUCCGAUCUCGGUGAUCAUGGGCAGGAGGCGGAGUUACACUAAGACCAGACCAUGUCAUUACCGAGGAGGCAGGUUUAGUCGUUGUUUGAAGACUAUCCCUGCCUCCGGGUCUGGCCUUGACCUGAUGGAUACUGGAAUCAACAGGGGAAACCCACAUGACCUGAAGGUGUUGCUGUGUAAUGCCAGGUCAAUGAUGAAUAAAACCACUGCCAUCCACGACCUGAUUGUGGAUGGAGGAUUGGACCUGGCAUGUGUGACAGAGACCUGGUUGGAUGAAGCAGAUGGGCCUGUCUCUGCCGCUGCUUGCCCACCAGGUUUCUCUUACGCACAGCAACCCAGGUCAUGUGGGCGGGGAGGGGGGGUUGCAGUGAUUUUUAGGAAGUCACUAGCUUGCACCAGGCGUCCUACUGGGAAGAUCCAGUUUUCUGAGUGCAUGUUCUGGAAGUUGGGCAAUAGGGGCAGUACAGGAUUCCUAUUGGUGUACCAACCUCCCUACUGCACCAAGGAUUCCCUGUCUGAGCUGCUUCAGGUCGUGGCAGAUUUUCUCCUGGAGACACCUAGUUUGGUUGUCCUAGGGGAUUUUAACAUCCAUGCCGACACGACCUUACAAGGGGCUGCUCGGGGCUUCGUGGAAAGCAUGGCCUCCAUGGGGCUGUCCCUGAAUAAGUUUGGCCCAAGUCAUAGCCGCGGACAUGCCUUGGACCUGGUGUUCACCUCUAGUGACGUGGGUGAUCUGACACUAAGUAAAAGUGAAACAAAAGAAGUGCCAUGGUCAGAUCACUUCCUGGUGCAACUGGACUUCUCCGCGACCCUUCCCCUCUGCAGGGAGGUGGGACCAAUUUGGAUGGUCCGCCCCCACCACUUAAUGGAUCCAAAUGGUUUCCAGAGAGUGGUAGGGGAUGCUUUAUCCCAUGUUGAUGGCCUUUCAGCUGAUUCCGUGGUGGCCCGCUGGAAUGCGGAGUUAACCAGGGCUAUCGACUGUCUGGCUCCAAAGCGCCCUCUCCGAUUGCAUGGAGCCCGGACAGCCCCGUGGUUUUCUUCGGAGCUGAGGGUGAUGAAACAAUCGCUGAGACGGCUAGAGCGUCGGUGACAGAAAACUCACUCCGAAUCUGACUGGACACAGGUUAGAGCUCAACGUCGAGCCUACCAAGUGGCGAUAGCGACGGCGAAGAAGACUUUCUUCACCGCCUCUAUUGCAUCUGCAGAAAAUAGUAGCAGGAGACUCUUUCAGGUGGUUCGCAAUUUAACGGAACCACCUUUACCACCAGGGCCUUGUAAAGACCCCAAGAUCUCCUGCAACGAUUUUGCAAAGUUUUUUGCAGAUAAAAUCACUCAUAUUCGGAAGGAGCUAGACACCACCGUGGGAGCAGGGCUGGGGCGGGAGAGUGCUAGAGCUCUGUCUGGUCAAGUUGCAUGGAAUCAAUUUCAAUCCGUUACCCCCGAGGAUGUGGACAGGCUGCUUGGACACGUGAAACCAACCACCUGUCUCCUUGAUCCUUGCCCAUCCUGGCUAAUAAAAGCAAGCCGGGAAGGGCUGGGCGAUGGGCUCUGCGGGGUGGUGAAUUCUUCCCUCUGUGAGGGAACAUUCCCAGAUCCGUUGAAAGAGGCGGUCAUUAAACUGCUUCUUAAAAAAACAUCUUUAGACCCAGCCACUAUGGCCAACCAUCACCCAAUCUUAAAUCUUCCAUUCUUGGGCAAGGUGGUUGAAGGGGUGGUUGCUGAAGAACUGCAAGCACGCCUGGAGGAUGCGGACCAUUUGGAUCCCUUCCAAUCGGGAUUCAGGUCUCAUCAUGGGACUGAAACUGCCUUGGUUGCGCUGGUUGAUGAUCUCCGGCGAGCUAGGGACAAAGGUGAGAGUUGUUUCCUAGUUCUGCUGGUUAUCUCAGCGGCCUUUGAUACAAUCGACCAUAACAUCCUUCUGGACCGUCUAGAGGGGCUGGGAGCUGGGGGCACUGUUAUACAGUGGUUUCGCUCCUUCCUCCUGGGCCGUGUUCAGAAAGUGGUGGUGGGGGAUGAGUAUUCAGACCCCUGGGCCCUCACUUGUGGGGUGCCCCAGGGUUCUGUCCUCUCCCCCAUGCUUUUUAACAUCUAUAUGAAGCCGCUGGGAGAGAUCAUCAGGGGGUUUGGACUGGGUGUCCAUCAAUAUGCAGAUGAUACCCAGCUCUACUUCUCUUUCAAAUCAGAACCAGUGAAGGCGGUGAAGGUCCUGUGUGAGUGCCUGGAGGCGGUUGGAGGAUGGAUGGCGGCUAAUGGAUUGAAGUUGAAUCCUGACAAGACAGAAGUACUGUUUUUGGGGGACAAGAGGCGGGCAGGUGUGGGGGACUCCCUGGUCCUGAAUCGGGUAACUGUGCCCCUGAAGGACCAGGUGCACAGCCUAGGAGUCAUUUUGGACUCACAGCUGUCCAUGGAGGCGCAGGUGAAUUCUGUAUCCAGGGCAGCUGUCUACCAACUCCACCUGGUACGCAGGCUGAGACUCUACCUGCCCGCAGACUGUCUCGCCAGAGUGGUGCAUGCUCUAGUUAUCUCCCGCUUGGACUACUGCAAUGCGCUCUACGUGGGGCUACCUUUGAAGGUGACUCGGAAACUACAACUAAUCCAGAAUGCGGCAGCUAGACCGCCGAGACCACAUAACACCAGUCUUGAAAGACCUACAUUGGCUCCCAGUACGUUUCCGAGCACAAUUCAAAGUGCUGGUGUUGACCUUUAAAGCCCUAAAUGGCCUCGGCCCAGUAUACCUGAAGGAGCGUCUCCACCCCCAUCGUUCUGCCCGGACGCUGAGGUCCAGCGCCGAGGGCCUUCUGGUGGUUCCCUCAUUGCGAGAAGCAAAGCUACAGGGAACCAGGCAGAGGGCCUGCUCGGUAGUGGCGCCCACCCUGUGGAACGCCCUCCCAUCAGAUGUCAAAGCGAUAAAUAACUACCUGACAUUCAGAAGACAUCUUAAGGCAGCCCUGUUCAGGGAAGUUUUUAAUGUGUGAUAUUUUAGUGUAUUUUUGGUUUCUAUGGAAGCCGCCCAGAGUGGCUGGGGAAACCCAGCCAGAUGGGCGGGGUACAAAUAAUAAAUUAUUAUUAUUAUUAUUAUUAUUAUUAUUAUUAUUAUUAUUAUAUCUCAGAAGCUAUAGAAGCUCUUGCAGCUGCAGAUAUUGCCAUUGGGAUGCCUCUGAUAGGGAUGGGGAGCAUCUGAGCCUCCAGAUGUUGCUGGACUCCAAUUCCCAUCAUCUGGGACGUGGGCUGAUGGAAGUUGGAGUCCAACAACACCUGGAAGGCUGUAGGUUUUCCAACCCUGAAUUAAGAUUGAGUUAAUUAAUUGGGUAUUUAAUUUGCUGGCUUAGUUGUCAGUUUAUCUUGUGCUGUUGGGAUUGUUAAAUCUGUUAUAAAUUGAGAUGUUAUUAUCCUUAGUGUGUAAUGGUGUUUGGAGGAGAUUGCUCUGGAUUCUACCAUUUUUAUUGCUGAUGUAUUAGCUGCCUUGAGGUGGAAGAUGACUUAAAAAGAAAUAAAUGAUGGAAGUAAAAUAAAAUAGAUCCACCACUAUCUAGCCAAACUGAAAGGUGGAAACAGAGUCUGUCUCCCAGGGAGGGAGCCAUGUGCCAUCAAGCCCUCAGUGGCGGCUCCUGGGUAACAAUCCAAACUGCAAAACAGCAGUUCAGGGAACCUUGUCUUGUGAAAAUUGCAUGCCCUCUUUUUCCAGAUAAUUGCCCAGAACGUGCAGUGACAAUUUUCAGCAAGGAAAAAAAAUCUGAGGAAAUAACUGAGAAGGUUUUGCACAUCUGGGAUGAGAAACCUCUGCCCCUUCCUGGUGUUUUUGGACUUCAAUUCCCAUCAGCCUCUGGCAGCAUGGCCAAUGCUCAGAAAUCAUGGGCGUCGUCAUCUAGCAACAUCUAGCCCAAAAAUUCUGAUUUCUAUAUCUAGAGGUUCAUAACUUCCAAAUGUCCCAAUUUUCCAGGGGCGGUCUUAGAAUUACAAAAGCCAUCCCAGCGUCUGAUUUGAUCCCAUAAUUUCCUGUUUCCCCUUUCCACCACCCAGCUCAGGGAGGAGGAGGAGCCACUGCUUGUCCUGUUGCCUUUCCAGGGCUGCUGCUGCCACCCUCCUCCCUUGGGCAGCUCAUAGCAGCUGCUGGAGAGCGGGCAAGGAGGAGGAGAGGCUGUGGCCAUGAGGUCCUGCGCUGGAUGACAUGCUGGCUUUGAGCUGCAGGCAGAGGGCAGGGCUACCCUGGGCGGGAAGGAAGGGGGAGUGGAGCAGAGCAAAGCAAAGUGCAAGAAGCCUUGAUUUAAAAAAAAAAUGCUUUGAGAGUCCAAAAUGUCUUGGGCCAGCCCAGUGGGCUGCAGUUGUGAUUUUCUGCUUCAGGACUCAAAACGCCUUGUGCAAUCCUAGCCAGGAGGGCAUGGCGAUCACCUGAACUCCUCCAGCCUCCCUUUGACAGUUCCGGAGGUGGGGAAGAAAAAUAGCUGUUGCUUAAUAUAAAACAUUAAAAGCCAUCAGAUGAUACAUUUAUUACAAUUCAUAUGGGAAGAAAACAACACUUUUUAAAAAGGUGAAAUGUGUGAGAUAUUCUUGUCACUAUUAUAUCGGAAAGUGGCCUAUUUUGCUCAUAUCCUUAUUAGUCAUGGGCCACACCUGAUCCAAAACCUAUAAUUUGGGAUUUUCAGUUUGCUUAAAUAGUGUUGUGGGAUUCAUGGGGAAAUUUAAACUGUUAUCAUUUUUAAUGUUGUGUUGUUAGAAAAAGUGAGAGAGCUUCAACUGAGCUGUACAAUGCAGAUGAGCCAAUGCUUGAAACAAUGAAAAUAUCAGAAUCUGGAAAAACGAGAAUAUUGUUGCAACUCAGACCUAUAUACAUUACAGGACAGAGAGAAACGAAAUAUAGAAAAGCAGAGACAUUGAGAGGUACCUAAUUAACAGGGAAGAUUCAGGAAAAAGCUUGUUGAUGGCACAUAAAUCUUGGCAUUGGUAACUCAAUUAACAAAACUACACUCCGCUACAAAUCCUUUGCUUUGGUUCAGGCCUUUCUAGGCUCUGGAAUAUCUAUGUUUUCCCCUAUGAUGUUGGACCUCACCCCACCCCCUUGGUUUCUUUCAGAUAUAUCAUAAAUUGCCACAGUUCAUAGAUUGUGGCAGCUCUUUGCCUUAAGCUAAUAUCAUCUGGGCAACAAUAAUAGGAUCACAGAAUUGUUGGAAGUGACACAAAAGUUUUGCAAAGGUGAAGCUGGCUUGUCACCUGCUUACUGGAAAACAGGUUGCAAUAAAAAUAAUGGACAAGCUCUCCAACUGCCUGCCAUGCAGGCAUCAAAGCUACUAUUCCCAGAAUGGGAAUUUAUCAACCCUUCUACGUAAGGAACUCUGGGAAGGGGAGGGCAAUAAGGAGCACCCCAACAACUCUCGGCACCCUUGAUCGACUACAGCUCCCAGGAGUCUUUGUGGGAAGCUAUGAGUGGCAUCAUGGCACUUUAACCGUAUGGUAUGGAUGGGGCCACAAUCUCUGGUGUCUUCAGGGAGAGUUGCUCCCAGUCAGAAUGGACAGAACCAAGCUAGAUGGACCGCUGGUCGUGACUAGUAUGAGGCAGCUACCUCCAUUCCUAAGCAUUACAUUUAUUCCAGAAUUGUAUAAUGGUGGCACUGCUUUGAGCUCCUGAAGUUCAUUUCCAUCUCCCACCUCCUUGUGUUAUUAUGACCUGUGCACAUCUGCAUUGAUUGAAUACUGUUUCAUUUGUUUUUCUUUUAAAGCAAUGUUGAUGUGAUUGUAUUUACAACUGCAUCAAGAUUCAGGUGCAUAUGAGCUUUUGUGCAUUGGUCCACACACACACAAAUCAUCUUGAUGCAACCGUAUCUAUACAUCAAGAUGGUCUUGUUUGUUAGCACAGAGGGAGGAGAUAAGAAGGAAAGAGCUAAAAGUGCAGAUGCACCAGUGUUCUGUACAAAUGCAGAAGGGGAGAAUGCACUUAUAUGUAUUGAGUUCCACUUUGGAAACAAAACCAGGUAAAUCAGAAUGCCACAAAGUCCAGGGAGAAAUUUGGAUGAGAUUUUGGAUGCAUCCCUACACCCACUUCUGGAACAGCCCAGUCAGGGCUGAGGAGGACAGCGAACAGAAACACUCCGCACUGCAACAAUUUGUUGCAGGCCCUAGAUGUUUCCUCUGUUUAGGUUAUGAGUGCCAUUGCUUAUGUAGCCCAAAAGGCAUCACCCUCACACGAGUCAAGGGGGAGGGGAUGUGAGUGGAACCCUAAAAACAGUCCAAUGAGAAUCAAGCAUGCUCAGUGGCCACAGAAUAACUGACUUGGGGCAGGGGAGGAAACUGUGAAAGGGUGCAGAAUGGAGGCACUUCACACUGCAACAACUUGUUGCAGCUCUCACUUCUUGCUCUCACUUUGCAUGAAGCUUGGAAACAGUUGAGAUGGCAAAGGCAGGACUAGUCCCUACAUCUUUUAAGAGAGAGAGAGAGAGAGAGAGAGAGAGAGAGAGAGAGAUUACACCCCCAAAUACAGCAAAUAAAUGCUUUUGUUGCAUUUAAUACACUCAUACCGUGGAUCCCAAAAGCCCUGGAACUCGGACGUUUUGGCUCCCAAACGACACAAACUCGGAAGUGAUUGUUUUGGUUUGCGAACAUUCUUUUGGAACCCGAACGUCCAGUGGGGCUUCCACAGCUUCUGAUUGGCUGCAGGAUCUUCCUGCAGCCAAUCAGAAGCCGCAAUUUGGUUUUUGAACGUUUUGGAAAUCGAGCCGACUUCUGGAAUGGAUUCAGUUCGAAUUCCAAGGUAUGACUGUAAUUAAAUGUUAACUUGUAGAAUACUUUGUGUGAUCAACAUGAAAAAUAAAUGCUUUAUAGAAGUGCAAGGUGCCAGUAUUAGAAUUUUGCAACACAAAGAGAGAGAGUUCAAACUACAGAAGAGCUAAGCAUUCAGUGCAAGUGUGCCUGCUACUUUAAUAAAUCAGCCUCAUCUAUUCAACUUAACCUUGCUUUUCACCUGUCAGCUGCUGGCAUCAGCUGCAAAAGAGGCACCGCAGGAGAAGGUAAACAAGGAGGCCCCUGAUGCUCCGAACAUGGAAAGGCAAACUGGAGGGAUGUGAAGGCCUAAGGAAAGGUUGCAGGAUGGCUCUGCAAUGCAAGAAUGGCCUGGUGUUAAAAGGUAAACUAGAAGGAGCCUGGCAGGUAUACUGGGUAGGUUUCUAGACCUCAUGCCUGCCAGGAGAAAAGGCUGAAGGUAGCACCAGUAAAUCCUGCAUCUUUUCUUUAAAAAAGAAAAGAAAGUUGUUCAGUGUUUGUUUGUGAGGAUGCCAGGAAAAUGGUCAGUGAGUCUUAAUGAAACAUGGCCAGCAGCUAAAACCAUCUCUGCAGCUCCCUGCUAGAUCUCCCAGCUUCAAAUUGUGACAUCUCCAGGUAGUGAUGGUAGAGACUUCCCUGGGGAGCCACAGUCAGUCAGUGGAGACAGUACUGAGCUGGGUGAACCAGUGGCCUUUCUCGGUAUAAGGCAGCUCCCAUCUGGCUCAGUAUCACUCGCUCUGACCGGCAGCCUCUCUCCAAGGUCUCAGACAGAGAGGGUUUCUCUCCUGCCACCUGGUCAUUCUAACUGGAUGUGUCAAGGCUUGGACCUCUAUGUGGGAUGGUGAACCUGUGGCCCUCUAGAUGGUCAGUGGACUCCCACCAGCAUGUAUUGUGGCCAGGGAAGAGGGGAGUUGUAGUACCAUUCCCCAACCCUGAUGUAAGAGGGAAACCCUCUUGGAACCCUGACAAAAAGAGGAAGCAUCAAACCUCAAUGCCCUCUGCUUCAUCUUCAUAACUUAAACUCUCCCCUAUGAAGUAAGAUGGCUGAUGGAGGGAGCCCAGCUUCCCAGCUCUCCCAGUGCUGGAAUGGCUGACCCCACCCCUAGUUCAUCAGGGCUACACAUCACCCCAUAAGACCAUCAAAUCCAGAGUGUGAAAAUCACCCAGUUGUCAUAUUGUCAGUCCUGCCUCUCUGAGUCUACUUCUGUGGUAUCUUCAUCUCAUGGACAUAUUAUUUUUUUAAAGGUCAGGCUGCCAUCUACAAGCUGGCCUUUUGUCAACUCAGCUAACAUCCGUGCUGUCCACUUAACUCUUGCCUGAUGUCCCAAUCUCUUCUUACAGAUGGGUUUUUGCUGUUCAAGCCACCUUUUCACUCCAAAUGCUGCUAGGAGGGAAGAGGAAGGAGGAGGGGAAAGAACCUGCCUCCUGGCUCCUCAUCAGACUUCCUUUGUGCAAAUCUCUUGCUUUGUGCCAGGCACUACGGGAAGCAAACAUGCCAUAGUGUGUAUCAGAGGAAGAUGACUCUCGCACUGCUGUUUCAUCCACCCACUUUAUUUUUCCAGUUCCCCACACGGCAAACAUUCUGCACUACUGAGCAGCACACAUGGCAGGAAUCUUCAAGAACAAAAAGCAACCAGUACUUGAGAAGAAGGGAGCCUUAAUGCUCUCUCCUUCUCUCGUUUGCAAGAAUCUUGGGAUUCCUCUGAAGCUAAGCAGAGGCUCGUUAAUGAGAAGGUCAUUAAUGACAAAUCUCAUUGAAAGGUAGUUUGCCCCUCCCACCAACCUUCCCUCUGCAACGCACAACUGUAGAGAAGUGUUAGUGGAGUGACAAGCUAUGCUUUCAGUUGUACAGCAUGUUGGUGAGGCCCAACACAGGUGCCCCCCGUACAAACUAAGUGCAGACUAUAGAAUGGGGGCUCUUAGGCCCAGGGCCCAAAUGCAGCCCUCCAUGCCUCUCCAUCUGGCCCUCAAGCCACAUCCUUCACCGGCCCUGCAUCCCAUCCUCAUUGAGAGUUCUUGCUUGGCUGAAAUGCUACUUGCUUGGCUGGAUGGAGGACAGAGGGGGUCUUGCAAGUGUGUGAACAAACAUACCUGCAAAGGUAACAUUUGCACUUUUUGCUCUGACCGCUUUUGCCUCUGGACCCCCCCCCCCCAUCCCUGGCAUGUGGCACCUGGGGGUUGCACAGAAGGGAAUGUGGCCCUCGGACUGCUGACCCUUGCUUUAGACAUUUCCCCAGAAUCCUUUGUGAUGCACCGAGGUUCUGUGGAAAGCAUGCGUGGAUUCCAACACAGGCAAUGUCUUCCAUGAAAGGUUUCCCUUGAGGUGCUGAGCUUGAAAAUCACUGAGAGGGCAAGAUGAGAGCAAAGAAAGGCAAAAUGAAAACGGACCCUGCUGUUCAAGCCAUCCUCCGUCCUAAAUGUGUUUCACAGGAAACAGCAGGAUUUACAUCAAGUAAAGAUGGAUCACAGCACAAGGCCUCAUCUCCACUUUGGAUUAACACCCAGUUUCAUUUAAAGUCAAAGUUUUUUUUUAAAAAAAGAAAGAAUAAAAAUUCUACUCAGAUUAUAUAUAUAAAGAACCAGCAAGCACAGUCCAAUGCAUGGCCUUCAAAAAUCCAAGGCAAUCAGCUGUGGCCUCCUCUAAAGUCCAAAGCUGACCUUGUGUCUCAUGGCAUUAAUUUACAACUCCAGAAUAAAAGAUAUAAAAGCCCAGGUGGUGCAGCUUUCCACAACACUGGGAUCUCUGAGCUAUACCUGUCAAUUAACCAUCAGUCUCCAGGGAGUUCAGAGGGAUCAGCUCACAUGCUGCCUAUCUGACAUUUCCUCCUGUAUCCUCCGUGUUGACAGGUUUCUCCUCAGUUCUUAACUGGUGUUUAACACAUGGCCUCCUACCAAGGCUGCAUUAAUGUCAGUCACCUCAGAGACUUAAGUUUUGGCCUUGCUCUCCAGUUCUCUUCUCCUUUGGGAACAUCAGCACACCAAACACACUUUAUGCACCAGCCCAUACACUUCCCCUCUUCACUCUUGGCCCAGAUUUUAAGUUCUACACUGCCAAGCUCUAUUUAAUUGGAACUGCGAACCACUCUUAUUUGGUAUUCUGUAAACCACUCUUAGAUCCUUGGGUAUAGGGCGGUAUAUAAAUUCAAUAAAUAAUAAAAAUACGGUGUACAUGCAACAGGCAGAUGUACAGACAGAGAGACUUGCAUACCCAGCCAGGAAGUAUGUCAAUGCAUCAGUAUGUGGAUGAUACCUAGUUCUACCUCUCUUUUAAAUCAGAACCAGUGAAGGCGGUGAAGGUCCUGUGUGAGUGUCUGGAGGCGGUUGGAGGAUGGAUGGCGGCUAACAGAUUGAGGUUGAAUCCUGACAAGACAGAAGUACUGUUUUUGGGGGACAGGAGGCGGGCAGGUGUGGAGGAUUCCCUGGUCCUGAAUGGGUAACUGUGCCCCUGAAGGACCAGGUGCACAGCCUGGGAGUCAUUUUGGACUCACAGCUGCCCAUGGAGGCACAGGUCAAAUCUGUGUCCAGGGCAGCUGUUUACCAGCUCCAUCUGGUACGUAGGCUGAGACCCUAUCUGCCUGCAGACUGUCUCGCCAGAGUGGUGCAUUGCUCUGGUUAUCUCCCGCUUGGACUACUGCAGUGCACUCUACGUGGGGCUACCUUUGAAGGUGACUCGGAAACCAGAACUAAUCCAGAAUGUGGCAGCUAGACUGGUGACUGGGGGCGGCCGCCGAGACCAUAUAACACCGGUCUUGAAAGACCUACAUUGGCUCCCAGUACGUUUCCGAGCACAAUUCAAAGUGUUGGUGCUGACCUUUAAAGCCCUAAACGGCCUCGGUCCAGUAUACCUGAAGGAGCGUCAGCGGCAUAGCGUGGGUUGUCAGCACCCGGGGCAAGGCAAGUAAUUUGCGGCCACUAACCCGUGGAUUGCGCCCCUAACCGCACGCCUGGCACCCCCCCUCCACAGUGGGCGGCGACCCGGCGGUGUGAUGGCCUGGGAUUCCGAUUCGGAGGAUGAAACAGAGGAAUCCCGGCCUGCACAGGAGUCCCCGCCUCCAGGGCCGGCUGAACUGGGGCAAGGCCUUGAUGCUGAAGAGCCUGCACCUGUGGCAGUGCAUCAGGAGCUGGCCCCAGGUGAAGCCCUUCGGGCCCCAGAGGGGCUUGAUGACUCAGUGGCCACAGGUGAGCCUCCUCCAGGGCCCAGUAACCCUUCGGCCUCUCCUGAUCUGCAGAGGCUUAGGGCAGAGAGGCGAAGGGAACUGGUUGCCCCCAGGAGGAGUGCUCGCCUUAAGGCCAGAGGAGGCGGGGCUCCUGGGGACCAGGACCGCCCCCUGGCCUUAGAAGAGGAUAAAAGCCCAGUCAGCCCCGGCCCCAGGUUGCGGGAGCAACGUCGUUGUUGGCUCCGGACCUUCCUGUGUUCCUGAUCCCUGCUCGGCUUCCUGUUCCUGACUAUCCGGUACUCCUGUUCCCUGCUCGGCCUCCUGUUCCCGACCAUCCGGUGUUCCUGUUCCCUGCACAGCCUCCUGUUCCAGCAUUCCUGUUCCCCGCCCGGCUCUCUGCCUCGGACCUUGCCCCUCUUCGUGUGGACUCUGCUACACCCAAGGUACCUUACCCCGGGACCAGCACAGUUUGCUCCCGCCCAACCCGCACUCCCCCUUCGUAGGGGUGCGUUCGGGAAGAGCCAGAGGCCAUGGCUGACCAGGCGGCUGCACUGGUGGCUUUGGCCCAGAAGAACCAGGCCUUGACUCACACCGUGCAGCAGCUCAGUGACGCGGUUGUGGCACUUCAGCAACGCUUGGAAGCCCUACCGGCUCCUGGGGCCGACGCCCGGCUCCUGGCAAGUACCCAGUGGCUUUGCCUGAGAAAUUUGAUGGAGCCCCGGCCAGCUUUCCCAUGUUCCUGGCCCAGGCCAAGCUGUAUAUUCAGGGGCGAGCCCGGAACUUUCCUGACGACCGCACCAAGGUGCACUUUUUGAUUAGUUUGUUAAAGGACCAUGCGGCCACCGUGGGCGUUGCCGCUACUCAGGCAAGACUCCCCCUUGCUGGCAGACUAUACGGGGUUUUGCAAUCGUUUGGAGGCCGCGUUCGGCAACCCCCAGAAAGGGAGUCAAGCCAACCGGGCGAUUCGGCGUUUGAAACAGGGCAAGUCCACGGUGGCCGCAUAUACCACGGAGUUUCGGCUGUUGGCACAGGACUUGACCUGGAAUGAUUCGGCACUGCGGGACCAGUAUCUCGAAGGGCUUUCGGACGAGGUACUGGACCAGUUGGCCACAAUGGAACGCCCCACCACGCUAGACACUCUCAUUCAACGGAGUCUACAAAUAGACGACCGGUUGGAGGAUCGUCGUCAGGCCCGGGGUCGCCGACACUUCCAGUUCACGGCACCAGCUUUUCCGGCAGCCCCACGGUCACAACAGAUAUAACGGAGGAGCCUCUGCAGCACGGGGCAGUGCGGCCACGCCUUUCCCCGCAGAGAAGGCGCGGCGUCGGGAGGAAAUCUCUGUCUUUACUGUGGCGGAAGUGGACACUUCGCUCGGUCUUGCCCUGAGAAACGCCAGCCGCAGGAAGCCGCCAACCCCAGUAGCUGAUGGCCCUAGCUGCCGGGGGUCCCAAACCGCGCAGAAUGGGCCUGCAUCAAUGGACUCGCAACAUCUUAUGGUUCCGGUACGUUUAUACCCUCCAGGUGGGCCCUGGAUCCCCACCCAUGCUUUGGUGGAUUCAGGGGCAACCCGCUCUUAUAUGGACGCUGCUUUUGCCGCCCAUCAUCAGGUGCCACUUCGGAACAAGCCAGUACCGGUCCAGGUGGAAGCGAUUGACGGACGACUUCUGUGUUCAGGUGCCGUUACUCAGGAGACCCAGCCCCUGGUCCUGUGUUUCCAGCAGCACCGGGAGUUGCGAACUUUGGACAUUGCCUCUAUGCCCCGCUUCCCCCUGGUGCUCGGGAUGGACUGGCUGGAAGCCCACAACGUUCAGAUUCACUGGGUCAAGCGGACCGUGCACUUCCCAGACCCAUGUUCCCAUGCUCAAUCCGGGACGCUGGCGGCCGCGCCUCAGAGGAGGCAGCACCCACGCUCCCAGCCGUGUAUCAGGACUACCAGGACGUGUUCGAGGAACGGGGGGCAGACCAGCUGCCGCCGCAUCGGCCUUUUGACUGCGGCAUAGACCUCCAACCCGGAGCGCCUCUACCAGUGAGUCGCUUAUAUUCUCUAACAGAGCCAGAGCGCGAGGCUUUGCAGGACUUCUUGCGCAAGAACCUGGAGCGUGGGUUCAUUAGGCCGUCCACCUCGCCUACCGCGGCACCAGUGCUUUUCGUUAAGAAGAAAUGUGGGGAACUCCGCCCUUGCCAUGAUUACCGAGCCUUGAACAAAAUUACCGUCCCAGACCGAUACCCCUUGCCCCUUAUCUCGGAGCUGCUGGAGCGGGUGCAAGGGGCACAGGUGUUCACCAAGCUGGACCUCCGGGGGGCCUACAACUUGAUUCGGAUCCGAGCCGGGGAUGAGUGGAAGACAGCGUUUGGGACCCGGUACGGGCAGUUCGAAUAUUUGGUUAUGCCUUUCGGGUUGUGCAACGCGCCUGCUGUGUUCCAACGCUACAUCAACCACGUGUUUCAGGACUUGUUAGACAAGUACGUGGUGGUGUAUUUGGAUGACAUACUGAUUUACUCCCGUGACCCGGCUCGCCAUGAGGGACAUGUCCGGACCGUGCUGCAGCGCUUGCGUGAGCACCGUUUGUACGCAAAGCUCAGCAAGUGCGAGUUCCAUCAGCGGACUGUGGACUUCCUUGGUCACCGGCUCUCUCCGGAUGGGGUGCAAAUGGACCCGGGGAAGGUGACAGCGGUUCAAGAAUGGGCGGCACCCCGGAACCGCAAGGACCUACAACGUUUCCUGGGGUUCGCCAAUUACUACCGGACCUUCAUCGCUGAUUAUGCUCAUCGCACCACCCCGUUGACCCGGCUACUGCGCCCAAAGACGCCGUUUUCCUGGGACAAGGAGGCAGAGGAGGCGUUUCAGGGGUUGAAGGCCUGUUUCCAGAGGGCACCAAUCUUACAACAUCCUGACCCCUCUCGACCCUUUGUGGUGGAGACCGACGCCUCCAGUACGGCUCUCGGUGCCGUCUUGUCUCAACAGAUUGGGCCCGAAGCGCCACUCUUACCCUGUGCCUUCUAUUCCCGCCAGCUCCUACCAGCGGAGCGUAACUAUACUGUGUGGGAGCGGGAACUACUGGCCAUCAAGGUAGCCUUUGAGGUCUGGCGCCACCAUCUUGAGGGGGCACGACAUCCGGUGGAGGUAAGAACCGACCACCGGAACCUGGAGUACCUCCAGACCACCCGCAAGCUGAACCAAAGACAGAUCCGGUGGGCGUUGUUCUUUUCCGGUUCCAGUUUCGGAUCCGCUACAUCCCUAGCUCUCAGAAUCUGAAGGCGGAUGCCCUGUCCCGGAAACCUGAAGACAACGCAGACACGGUACAGCAAGCAGAACCCGCCACGAUCCUACCUCCGGCCGCAUUCCUGGCCACCCAGGAGGCGCAGCCACUGCAGGUUCGGGUGCGGGAACAGCAGCGGGUCGGCGCUUGGGCCCAGGAGCGACUCCGGGAGCUGGCUGAAGGGUCCAGCCCACAGUAUCCGGGGCUGGUCCUGCAUCAGGGCCUCCUGCUGCACCACGGUCGUCUGUACAUCCCGCCAGGGCCACUGCGGCUGGAGGUUCUCCGGAUGGCCCAUGAUGCCCCGGCAGCGGGGCACUUUGGACGGUAUCGGACCACCCAUCUGGUCAGUCGUGAGUUUUGGUGGCCCCGCCUGAAGGCUGACGUGGCUCGCUACGUUGCUGGUUGUGAUGUCUGCCGACGCGCCAAGGGGCCUACCGGGCGACCCCCGGCCUACUUCAGCCAUUGCCAGUUCCACCGCGCCCUUGGCACACAGUUUCGUUGGACUUUGUAGUGGACUUACCCUCGUCUCGUGGCUGUACCUGCCUUCUGGUUUUCUCCGACCAUUUCACCAAGAUGGUGCACUGCGCUCCCUGUCCAUCUGUACCCACAGCCAAGGAAACUGCUCAGCUGUACCUUCAGCAUGUCUUCCGCCUGCAUGGACUACCUGAGCGCGUGGUGUCCGACCGGGGCGUUCAGUUCACAUCCCGGUUCUGGCGAGCAUUACACCAGACCCUCGGGACAGAGGUCUGCCUCUCGUCAGCCUACCACCCACAGACCGAUGGCCAGACGGAACGGGCGAACGCGGUGCUGGGCAGUACCUCCGGUGUUACUGCAGCUACCAGCAGGAUGACUGGGUCGACCACCUGGCAUUGGCGGAGUUCGCCUAUAACAACGCGGUGAAUGCGUCCACCCAGCAGACCCCGUUCCAGGCCAGUUAUGGUUAUCAUCCACGGCUGUUUCCAGAGGUGCUGCCGGCAUCCGCGGUCCCGGCGGUGACGGAGUGGCUUCAAGAGCUCCAGUCCCAGCAACAGCUUUUGGUGGAGCAACUGCACCAGGCCAAGGAAGCGUACAAAGCCCAGGCCGACCGCCACCGCCAGGUGGGGCCGGAACCGCGUCGGUGACCUGGUUUGGCUCUCCACUCGCCACCUCCACCCCUCUCGACCUUCGCGGAAGUUGGACGCCCGCUUCACCGGCCCGUUCCCUAUCGUAGACCAAAUCUCUCCUGUGGCAUUCCGUCUCCGGUUACCCGCAACCCUGAAGGUUCACCCGGUCUUCCACAGGUCCCUUUUGAGUCCGGUGGCCCCACCCGGCGAGUUCCACCAGAACCGUCCCCGACCGCAGCCAGUGUUGGUUCGGGGAGAGCCUGAGUACGAGGUGGAACGCAUCCUGGACUCCCGAUACCGCAGGGAAAGCUGCAGUAUCUCAUUGACUGGAAGGGGUACGGACCGGAGGACCGUUCCUGGGAACCAGCGGCCAAGGGCCAUGCACCUGCCUGCCUCCGAGAGUUCCAUGCGCCGUAUCCCGGCAAGCCGGGUCCGGCCCCUCGGUGGCGGGGGGGGGCCGGGGAGGGGGGAUGGUGUGAUGGCCUGGGAUUCCGAUUCGGAGGAUGAAACAGAGGAAUCCCGGCCUGCACAGGAGUCCCCGCCUCCAGGGCCGGCUGAACUGGGGCAAGGCCUUGAUGCUGAAGAGCCUGCACCUGUGGCAGUGCAUCAGGAGCUGGCCCCAGGUGAAGCCCUUCGGGCCCCAGAGGGGCUUGAUGACUCAGUGGCCACAGGUGAGCCUCCUCCAGGGCCCAGUAACCCUUCGGCCUCUCCUGAUCUGCAGAGGCUUAGGGCAGAGAGGCGAAGGGAACUGGUUGCCCCCAGGAGGAGUGCUCGCCUUAAGGCCAGAGGAGGCGGGGCUCCUGGGGACCGGGACCGCCCCUGGCCUUAGAAGAGGAUAAAAGCCCAGUCAGCCCGGCCCCAGGUUGCGGGAGCAACGUCGUUGUUGGCUCGGACCUUCCUGUGUUCCUGAUCCCUGCUCGGCUUCCUGUUCCUGACUAUCCGGUACUCCUGUUCCCUGCUCGGCCUCCUGUUCCCGACCAUCCGGUGUUCCUGUUCCCUGCACAGCCUCCUGUUCCAGCAUUCCUGUUCCCCGCCCGGCUCUCUGCCUCGGACCUUGCCCCUCUUCGUGUGGACUCUGCUACACCCAAGGUACCUUACCCCCGGGACCAGCACAGGCGGCUCAGAUCGGAUUCGCACAGCCAGCACUGCAGUGAGAGAGAGGGAGUGAGCCAGGUAGGGGCAGAGAGCUGCGAGUGCGAGUGCCCCCCCAGAUGUUGCGCCCGGUGCGGCCGGCACCCCCUGCACCCACCACGCUACGCCACUGAGGAGCGUCUCCACCCCCAUCGUUCUGCCCGGACGCUGAGGUCCAGUGCCGAGGGCCUUCUGGCGGUUCCCUCAUUGCGAGAAGCAAAGCUACAGGGAACCAGGCAGAGGGCCUUCUCGGUAGUGGCGCCCGCCCUGUGGAACGCCCUUCCAGCAGAUGUCAAAGCAAUAAACAACUACCUGACAUUCAGAAGACAUCUUAAGGCAGCCCUGUUCAGGGAAGUUUUUAACGUGUGAUAUUUUACUGUAUUUUUGGUUUCUAUGGAAGCCGCCCAGAGUGGCUGGGGAGGCCCAGCCAGAUGGGCGGGGUAUAAAUAAAUUAUUAUUAUUAUUAUUAUUAUUAUUAUUAUUAUUAUUAUUAUUUGAGGACAGGCCCAUUCAUUCCAUUCAUGCAAUUCAGGUGGCUUCCAACAUUUCCACAUGUGACAGUAGAGAAGUGGUGAAAAGUAGAAAAGUGAAGGAAUGCCCACCACAUUUCAGGAUGGAGGUCUUCUGAUUCUGGUCUACCUGUUAAAAUAAUUCACACUUCAUAGGAACACAGGAAAAUGCCUUAUACCAAAUCAGACCAGUGUCCCAUCAAAGUCAGCAUUGUCUCCACUCGCUGGCAGUGGCUCUCUAGGGUUUCAGACAGGAGGUCUCUCUCCCAGCCCUACUAGGAGAUGCCGGGGAUUUGAGCUGCACCCCUUCUGGUGUGUGUGCAUCUGCUCCACCCCUACUGGCCAUUCUUCCCUUCAACUGUAGUGUUGUGGUCCAUAACUGGGUUGCUCCCUCAUCCACACUGGACUUCCUUAGUUUCCAGGAACUCCUCCCUCCAUCUUCAGCCCACAGUGCACCAAAUUAUCAAGGGGCUCUGAGUCUUCUGGAGUGGUUAGAAGAGGAAAAAGAAUGUGAACUUUAUUACUGGAGGAUGAAGAACUGAAAUUCAGAGGAUGCCAUUAGCUGUGAUUCUUGCAUUGCAUGGGGUUGAUGACCCUUGGGGUCCCUUCCAACUCUAGAAUUCUAUGAUUCUGUGUUUUCUGCCAAACUCUUUAAUGCUCAGAUUAAGGCAGAAUAAGGUUCAAAGGCAUGAGCAGUGCUAGGCAUGGGCAAGCAAGCUAAGAUGUUGAUUCCACCAGGGUCCUGCUCCCUUGUGUCCCCUUUAGCACAGCAACUUGAGCAAGCUGGACAUCUCUAUGACACUGGUGAUGGAGAAGCUAUCAGUGGUAGAUCCAAGCCAUGCUUGUUGGUUAACUCCUCUUGAGAGGAGUGGUUAGGAGUAGGCUUUUGAUUCAGAGAUAAAUGAAUUGUCAUCUCAUCUGUCCUCCCUGUUGAACGACGUGGCCCAGGGAGAGAGGGAAAAAUAGUGGAAGUGAACAGCUGGCUUUACAAAUGGUGUAAACAGGAACGGUUUGGAUUCUUAGAUCACGGACUGCAGUUUCUUGAAGAUGGACUUCUGGCAAGCGAUGGGCUGCACCUCACAACGGUUGGGAGGAAUGUUUUUGCCAAAAUCUCAGAAACCUCAUCAGGAGGGCUUUAAACUGACUAAUGUGGGGAGGGAGACAGUGCUCCUGAAGGUAGGAGUCUAUCAAUUGAUGAAGAUGAUCAUCCAAAUGUCAUAGACCAAAUGGAGCAAACAGCACACAGACCUAGUGGUGGGAGGAAAAAUCCUUAAAUAAGAGUCACGGGGAAUGAUUAAUGGACUUCAAUGUCUGUACACUAAUGCGCAAAGCAUGGGAAAUAAACAAGAUGAGCUUGAGCUCUUGGUACAGCAAACUAAAUAUGACAUAAUAGGCAUCACUGAAACCUGGUGGGAUAAGUCCCACGAUUGGAAUGUAAUAAUGGAGGAACACAAUCUAUUUCAGAGAAACAGACCAGACAAGAAAGGAGGAGGAGUGGCGUUAUAUGUCAGGGAUGUGUAUAACUGUGAAGAGAUCCAAGAUUUAGAACCUCAAAGCCAAAGGGAGAGCAUUUGGGUUAAAAUUAAGGGAGAGAAGAAUAACAGUGACCUCAUUGUGGGAGUUUACUAUAGAUCCCCAAGCCAAACGGAGGACAUAGAUGAUGCCUUCCUGGAACAGAUGGCCAAGCAUGCAAAAGGAAGGGAGAUAGUAGUAAUGGGGGACUUCAAUUACCCGGAUAUUUGUUGGAUGUCAAACUCAGCCAAGAGCAUAAGGUCAAACAGAUUCCUCACUGGCCUUGCAGACAACUUCAUUGUCCAGAAAGUGGAAGAAGCAACAAGAGGAACCGCCAUUUUAGAUCUGGUCCUAACCAGUGUUGAUGACCUGGUUAGUGGGGUAGAAGUGAAAGGAUCAUUAGGCGCGAGUGAUCAUGCUCUUCUGAAGUUUACUAUAAGGCAGAAAGGAGCAGCCAAGCAUACUAGGACUCAAUUUCUUGACUUUAAGAAAGCCGACUUCAUAAAACUUAGGGAAGUGCUGGGUGAGAUCCCAUGGACAGUAAUACUAAAAGGAAAGGGAGUUCAUGAUGGCUGGGAGUUUGUUAAGAGGGAGAUAGUAAAAGCACAACUUCAGGCAAUACCAAUGAGACGGAAACAUGGAAGGUGCCUAAAGAAGCCAGGGUGGCUAUCUAAAGAACUUUUAACUGAGUUAAGAUUAAAAAGGAUGUGUACAAAAAAUGGAAAAGGGGGGAAACCACCAAAGAGGAAUUCAAACAAAUAGCCAGCACGUGUAGACACAAAGUCAGAAAAGCUAAAGCACAGAAUGAACUCAGGCUUGCUAGAGAGGUUAAAAGCAACAAAAAAGGCUUUUAUGGGUAUGUUCGUAGCAAAAGGAAGAACAAAGAAACAGUGGGGUCACUCAGAGGAGAAGAUGGUGAAAUGCAAACAGGGGACACAGAAAGGGCUGAACUCCUCAAUGCCUUCUUUGCCUCAGUCUUCUCCGAUAAAGAAAACAAUGCCCAACCUGAAGAAUUUGGAGCAAAUGAUUCAGCAGAGGAAACACAGCCCAGAACAACUAAGGAGAUAGUACAAGAAUACUUGGCUAGUUUAGAUGUAUUCAAGUCUCCAGGGCCAGAUGAACUGCAUCCAAGAGUAUUAAAAGAACUGGCAGAUGUGAUCUCAGAACCACUGGCAGUCAUCUUUGAGAAUUCCUGGAGAACAGGCGAAGUCCCGGCAGACUGGAGGAGGGCAAAUGUUGUCCCUAUUUUCAAAAAGGGGGAAAGAGAGGACCCAAAUAAUUACCGCCCAGUCAGUCUGACAUCAGUACCAGGGAAGAUUCUGGAGCAGAUCAUUAAGCAAACAGUCUGUGAGCACCUAGAAAGGAAUGCUGUGAUCACCAAUAGUCAGCAUGGAUUUCUGAAAAAUAAGUCAUGUCAGACUAACCUGAUCUCGUUUUUUGACAGAAUUACAAGCCUGGUAGAUGAAGGGAACGCAGUGGAUGUAGCCUACCUUGAUUUCAGCAAGGCAUUUGACAAGGUGCCCCAUGAUAUUCUUGUAAAGAAGCUGGUAAAAUGCGGUCUUGACUAUGCUACCACUCAGUGGAUUUGUAACUGGCUGACUGACCGAACCCAAAGGGUGCUCAUCAAUGGUUCCUCUUCAUCCUGGAGAAGAGUGACUAGUGGGGUGCCACAGGGUUCUGUCUUGGGCCUGGUCUUAUUCAACAUCUUUAUCAAUGACUUGGAUGAUGGACUCAAGGGCAUCCUGAUCAAAUUUGCAGAUGACACCAAACUGGGAGCGGUGGCUAACACCCCAGAGGACAGGAUCACACUUCAAAACGACCUUGACAGAUUAGAGAACUGGGCCAAAACAAACAAGAUGAAUUUUAACAGGGAGAAAUGUAAAGUAUUGCACUUGGGCAAAAAAAAUGAGAGGCACAAAUACAAGAUGGUGGACACCUGGCUUGAGAGCAGUACAUGUGAAAAGGAUCUAUGAGUCUUGGUUGACCACAAACUUGACAUGAGCCAACAGUGUGAUGCGGCAGCUAAAAAAGCCAAUGCAAUUCUGGGCCUCAUCAAUAGGAGUAUAGCAUCUAGAUCAAGGGAAGUAAUAGUGCCACUGUAUUCUGCUCUGGUCAGACCUCACUUGGAGUACUGUGUCCAGUUCUGGGCACCACAGUUCAAGAAGGACACUGACAAACUGGUUAAGGGGUGAUAUGAUAGCCAUGUUCAAAUAUAUAAAAGGAUGUCACAUAGAGGAGGGAGAAAGGUUGUUUUCUGCUGCUCCAGAGAAGCGGACACGGAGCAAUGGAUCCAAACUACAAGAAAGAAGAUUCCACCUAAACAUUAGGAAGAACUUCCUGACAGUAAGAGCUGUUCGACAGUGGAAUUUGCUGCCAAGGAGUGUGGUGGAGUCUCCUUCUUUGGAGGUCUUUAUGCAGAGGCUUGACAACCAUAUGUCAGGAGUGCUCUGAUGGUGUUUCCUGCUUGGCAGGGGGUUGGACUCGAUGGCCCUUGUGGUCUCUUCCAACUCUAUGAUUCUAUGAUUCUAAGAUUGCCAGUGAAUAGCUCCUCCCACUCCCCAGUGUUUCCCCAGGACACUCGUGGGAUCCGUCUGAGCCAUUAAGGGAGAUGUCUUUCAUGGAGGAGAGGGUUAUUCGUGCAGGAAAGGACUUUCAAUGGGUUUUUGGGUAACAGUUGCUGGAAAGCACAGAAAGGAAGCGUUCCUGUUGUCUCACAAGCAUCUGGCUGACCUCAGGGAGACUAGGAUGUCAGAAUAGAUGGGCCACUCAUCUGAUCCUGCAGGCUUUUCUUAUGAUCUUAAGCCAUUUGCAGUUUUUCUAAGCUAGGCUUAUAGAGCCUACAUGGGAAGCAGGCAUUGCUCGUGUUUCCUCUCUCCACAAAAUAAAAAAUAAAAAGUCCUGGGAUUCCACCAGUUACCGUAUUUUUCGCUCUAUAACACGCACCCGACCAUAACAUGCACGUAGUUUUUAGAGGAGGAAAACAAGAAAAAAAAUAUUCUAAACGAAACAGUGGAUGUAUGAUUUUUGUGGUUCAUGCUGUGGCCACAGACAUGUGAUCUGACAGUGAGUUUGGAGUAGCCCAAUGCAAAAAUCCUGAGGAUCCAUGUGGAUCCGUGCUUUGUAACCACGUUUUUGCACCACUGCGGCCCCAGGCAACAGUGGGUGCGUGAUUUUUUUCGUGCAAGAUGUAGCCAUGGACAUGCUAUGUGAUCUGAUGGUGAAUUUGGGGUGACCCAGUGCAAAAAUCCUGAGGAUCCAUGUGGAUCCAUGCUUUGUAACCACUUUUUAAGUGGGGAGGGAAGGAAAAGCACUCAAGGGACAAGGAGCACGCGUGGGGUGUGUGGAGAAGGAUGCUGCUAAUAAUGAAGAAGAGGGGUAUAAGGGGAGAAGGCUCCUCUCCCGCUUUGCUCCUUUAAAGAAUCAGGCUCUCUGUCCCUCUCUCCUCCCCACUCAGCGGCUCUUCUCCCACUUUGCUGUUUCAAAGCGAGCCACGGAGGAGGGAAGGAAGGGGAACCAUGGAUCCUCUGCUCAUGACUGCAGCAGAUCCCCCCGCCAUCCGUAGGCAUUCCCUCCAUAACACGCACAGACAUUUCCCCUUACUUUCUAGGAGGAAAAAAGUGAGUGUUAUGGUGCAAAAAAUACGGUAUCUUUCUGUACGGCACCACUUCUGCUUCUUACCACUUCUGACCACCACGCCCACAAAAGAGAGAGGCAAGAGAAACAACAGAUCAAUGCUUUAAGUUAUGAAAUUGCUGGUCAAUGAGCAGAUGGCUAGUAUCACAUUGCAGAGCAAACAAACACCGCAUUCCCUCAUUUAUCUCUGAAUCAAAAGCCUCUGUCUAACAGUGGGAUUCCUGCCGUACCAGCUGCCUCACCAGACCUCCAUUGUGGGCAGGAGCACAAGUUCACAAGCUCACUCAAAAAAGACGAUUUAUCUUUCCCUACCAAGCAGGCUAUUGCUAUACCUUUUGUUAUAUCAACAUGAUGCCACGGGAAGGGCAGGACAUGCUGCAGAGACUCACCAAGCACACGGAGUCAGAGGACCACGGCUUCCAAGUUCCCUUGGGCGCCAUAGUCAUGAGGUCUAGGAACAUGCCUUAAAAUUAAACAUAGCUGAGGCUCCGUGGCAGAGCCCGCUCAUGGGGUGGGGUGAAACACCCAGCUCAGAUGGCAGAAGUGCAACAGGCCCACCUCAUUUCUUCUGCCCCUACUGGAACACCCCCUGUCAUGGGUGACAGGGAGGCAUUCUGGUGCACACUACUGCCAGCCAUCUUCUCUGCCCUUGGGCAAAGGAGCUGAGUGACAACGCUUUGCAGAAUACCCUUUUUCUGCUGAGUUUGACAAGAGCUGGGGUAUUCCAGUGGCAGAAGGGGGAGGCACAGUGGUAGCAGCGGAGAAUGCGUCUGUGGUAGAGGAAGGAGGAGGUGAUUCCCAUUUGGCCUCAGGUGGCAAACUGGACAUGCUGCUCCUGCUCCAUGGGGUAUUUUUGGCACACCAAAAGGACUAGGAUCAACCUGUGGCAUUUCCUGUUAGGAGUGCUGUAACAGAUCAGAUGCAAAAAUGUAGGAGGGGGGGAAGCAGUACGUGUGAAAAUGGUCUAGAGCUUUUAGUGCACCACAAGCUUAUCACGAGUCAACCAGGUGAUGCAGCAGCCAAAAAAAGAUAAUGCAACUCUAGACUGCGUCAAGAGAAGCAUAGUGUCCAGAUCAAGGGAAGCCAUAGUAUUGCUCUCUUCUGCUUUGGUCAGACCACACCUGGAGUCCUGUGUCCAGUUCUGGGCAGCACAAUUAAAGAAGGAUAUUGACAUGCUUGGAACAUGAGCAGAGGAAGGCGACCAAGAUGAUCAAGGGGCUGGAAACCAAAUCUUAUGAGGAACAGUUGAAGGAGUUGCAGGUGUUUAGCUUGGAGAAGAAAAGACUGAGAGUUGAUAUGAUAGCCAUAAAAGGCUGUCACACGAAAGAAGGAGCAAACUUGUUUUCUGCUGCUCCAGAGCAUAGGACCUGAACCAAUGGAUUCCAGUGACAAUAAAAGCAAUUCCAACAAAACUUUAGGAAAAAACUUUAUAAUGGUAAGAGCUGUUUGACAGUAGAAUUGACUACCUCAGAAGGUGGUGGACUCUCAAUCACUGGAGGUUUUUAAACAGAGGUUGGAUGGCCAUCUGUCAGGGAUGCUGUAGCUGGGAUUCCUGUAUUGUAGGAGAUUUGACAAGAUGACCCUUGGGCCCUUCCAACUCUGAAACUCUACAAACAUGUGAGGGGCCACAGGUUUCACACCCCUUGAUCUAAACAUCCUGCCUUCUCUUCUUUCUGACUGGAAAUCAAUGAAUCAUCUAGUCUGGGGGCCUUGAAAAGGACAAGGUGGAAAUGAUAUUGGGAAGUGUGCUCCAAAUGUCCCAACUCCAAGAGAAUGCCUCACGACCACCAGACUUGAUGCCUUCAAUCCCUGUAUUGGAAGGGCUGAGUCACAUCAUUCAGCAGCUGGCUCCUCAUUUCUUUGGCAAGACUGUUGUAGCUUGUGGUCACCAAUCCAAAUGGAGCUCUUGAGACAGGUGACCACAUGUCAAUAGCCUGAGUGUGACUUUGUGAAAAAACAAAAACAAAAACAAAAGCAGAACAGAACAGAACAACCACCUCUCUUAACAGCCAUCCCUUAUUGUUUAUUCUUAGCUAUCCCUUGUUGUUUGUACUGUCACUGCUUGGUGUAAUACCACUGUAAUGUAAUAGCAGAGUGUUGAACUUGCUUCAUUCCACAGCCCAACACCCUGUUAUCCAUCACACAUUAAAUCACAUCCUUUGAUCCAUGGGGCUCCCAAAAUUUCUAAUAUUGAAAAGCACCAGCCAUUUGUGAGAUAUUGGACUUAAGCACAGUGGCUCUCUAUGGUAUAAAAAAGGGGUUUUAGAGAAUUGUCUAUGCUUCAGUCUUUUCUUUCUUUAUAAAAUGCUUAUUUCUCUGACUAUUCUUGAACAUGGUAACUAAGGAAACCUGUAUUUAUAGUUGGUGCUUGGUGAUGAAUGAUAUCAAUAAAAACAAAAAUUAAACUUUUGUUCGAGAUCAGCUGCUUCAAAUAGCUUUCCUGUGAACUGGGCCAUAACAGAAGGAACAGAAUGAUAAAAGAGAAAGAGAGGGGAAUUGCACUGGUGCUGUGCUGGGGCUAAGGAUACUUACAAAUUUCUGGCCUCUUGGUUUUUUUUUUAAAAAGGGAGAAAGGCUUUUGCUCAGAGGUUGAGCACAUGCAUUGCUUGCAGAAGGUUCCAGAUUCAAUCCCUGGCAUCAUAAAAACACAAGAGGACCAUGUUGGGUUGUGUCAAAGAACAAUCUAGACCAGUAUCUCAUACCUGCCAACCAUCCUGCUUUGAAUAGGACAUCCCAGAUUGACAGAAGCUGCACCAGUGUCUGAUGUCCAUCCUAGAUGUCCUGCUUCCUCCUCCAUGAGACCUCCACCAAGGCUGCUGGCGUACUUCAGGAAGCUGGCUGCAUUUCUCAAAAUGCCCUUCCAGAAGUGUGGUGCUGGCUACAGUGGACCUGGCAGAGGAAUCCUGGGCAGCAGAGAGCCGGCAAAGGCUCCUCCAAUGGUGGAGGCAGAACAUAGUCAUUAUGGCUGUUGGCCAGGGGUAGCCUCAUCCUCCAUGACUGUGUCUAACCCUUAAAAAAACACCUUCCAAGUUGUUGGUGACCAUCUCUGACUCCUAUGAGAAUCCACACAUAAGGACUAGGCAACACUCCUGUGUGCAAUCAUGGAGGGUCACUGUCAUUCUCACUUCAUCCAGACAAUAAUGCAGUAUCAUUUCUUUAUUUAGGCUGCAAUAAUAGGGUCCCUGGCAAAGCAUUCCAGAGGCCCUUCACCGACGUUCAGAAGGGAGAUCUGAUGCCAAAUUCCCCCCUCCCCACCAGGCAGUGGUGUAGGAAGGUGUGUGUGUGUGUGUGGUCUGACCCGGGUGUCAUCACUGAGGGUGGGGUGACACAAAAUAACUCCCGCACCCACCACAGGCCCCUUCCCACACCACUGCAGGAGCCCUCUCCCCUCGCCUGGUUUCCAGAAACCAGAAGCAUUGCUGCCUCCAACUUUGCAGGCAGAGCACAGCCUUUAUGGCUAGUAGCCUUUGACAGCCCUCUCCUCCAUGAAUCUGCCUAAGCUGCCUCCUCCUCCCUGUCUCCCUCCCCGGCUCACUUUGGCACUCACUUCCUCUCCACGGAGGAAAGCCGCUUCCCUCUGCAACCAGGAGGGUCCCUGUGCGGCCAGCUGGGCAGAGAGUGAGGUUCCCCCUGGAGGCCAGGAGAGGUGGUGGGGAUCUUCCUGCCAGGUUUCAGCCACCUGGAAGGUUUCCAAGGCUUGAUCGGGUUGAAAUGGGCUGAGGCUACUUGGGACAGGUUUCCAUGAGGGCUGCUUUUCUGGUAUUGUCAGGGGCGGUGUGGGAGUGAGUGGGUUGCUCUGGGUUUUAUGACUGCAUGGUGGAAGCUGCCUUUGGAGGCUCGUUGCCCUAAAAAGCAGCUUUUGAAUUUCUGCAAUAAGCCAGAAACCCACCAGCCGGCCCCAUUUCUUCCCCUCUCCAUAAGCGGGCUGCAUUCCUCUCACCAGCAUCAGCAUACGUCCAGCCACAGUCCAGCCUCUGACUGCUAUGGUAGGGCAAGAGCAAGAGCAAUGGGGGGGGAGGGCUCGGGGAAUUGAGGGGAAAGCAUUUGGAGAUCCACACUUAGGUGAGCAUGAAGGCAGAGGCACAGCUAGGUGAGGCAGGGGGGCAUCACACCGCGGGGACUGCAGCAUGCCUGAGCCAUGCAUCUCUCCUGAGGGGGAGGCAGCGCGCAGACUGCCUGCCUGCCUGCAAGCUCCGCGCUGCUGUUUUGAGCAGCGUGGGCUUGCGUCUGCCUGCCUCAGCCGCCCUACAGCCGAGGGGGAGGCUGCAGAGAGGCUCCACGCAGCGUGCCCUGGCUUGGCUUGCUCCACCCCCAUGGGUAGUUUGCCCCUGGCUGCAAGGCAGGCGUGCUGCCCCAGGCACCCAAGCGGCUAGCUAUGCUGUUGCCACCAGGCACAUCUGAUGUUUUGGCCCUAAUAGCAUAAGAGCUCUGAUGCAAUAGAUUUGACUGGCUAGUUAAAUACCAUCAUUUAACAUUUCCAAAGAAGCUCUGUGCCAUGGAAGUAAAUGGAUGGGCCUCUCAGAACAAUAGGAGAAUUUGUUGUUCGGGUGAGGGGGGGGGGAGUGAGAGAGAUGGAAGAUGGAAGCUGGAAACUGUAAGCUGGAAACAGAAGACAUACCACCUUGCUCCAUGCUGGAUAUAAAGCUGUGGCGAAUGUUAAUGCUGCGAGUCCCACCAUCCUAUGCUUAGGUUGUGUAUAUGUGAAAAUAAAGCCAUAUAUAACUAAAGCCAAAGACAUGACAAGCAUCAUUGACCAUAAUUCCAAGGAAACUGAGCCCUGCAUAGGAGCAGGAACCCCUGGAGUUUUUUCCUGCUCAGAGACUGGGGAUAGCAUGUAACAAUAUGCUAAUAGUACAAAACACACAAUGCAUUUAAAACAUAUAGAACUUAAGAUAGCAUGAGAAUACAAAAGUCUGCACAGCACAAUCAUAGUAAUACAAUAGAAAGAGAAUAAAACUUAAAUUCCAUUUUAAGUGCCUUUUGACUUUUUUUUUUAAGAAGGCCGAAAAUUUUGGGAGUAUAAGAGCCAAAGCAAUGCAUAUAUUAGGAUACAGUGGUCAGAAAAAUGCACACAUUUUAGAAUAAAUAACAUGCAGAAAUGCCCUAUAUUGGCGGAAAAUACUUUUUUUGAAAAUGUGUAUAUUAGGCAAAAUUGCAUACAACAAUGUGCAUAUUAGGAGGAUUUUGCACCAAAAUUCUGAUGAAGUUUCAUGAGCACUUGAAAAAGAAAAUUGCAAACUGAUGUAGAAAUAUGGAGAACUGAACUUAAGUUGGGGAGGGGCAGUGAGAGAAAUGGUUUUCAUGCAUUCAACAUGAACACUAGAAAGAGAGUCCAAAUAGUUUUGAAGUGAGUGACAGAGGAGGCUGAAAAAUCUUGCCGGAGCCCCAGAUCUCAAAGUUGAAGCAACUGUGUCUCCAACAUGGCCAGCACCACCAAACCUUCUGCACGCUCUUGGUCUCUAGCUCCCAUCAUUGUCAGUUAGCCUAGUCAAGGUCCACGGAUGACUGAAUCACACAGCAGAUGGAGGUCAUGGUGUUGGCUAACCCUCCUCUGUGUAGGAGACACCCAGCUCCACCCUCUAACCUUGCAAGAGGCGGGAGCCAAGUUUCAUUGCUUAAUUGCUUAAAUGAUAAUAGAUGAUGACUUAAUUGGCCAUUCUUUAAGUAAUGUUAUUGACAGUAGUUACAUUGCAAUUAUACUAUAGUUAUGCUUUUUAAAUAGCAGCAUUUAGAACAAUUACACCUUAAUGCUUGUUGUUAGAUAUCUCCAAUUGCACAAAUGUGCUAAUCCUCCACAAACAAUGGAGGCAGUUAGUGUGAGGUUGUGUGAAUCAGGGACAAACACAGCAAAAAGCAGAGCACAUGGCCUAAAUGCAUAGUAAAGCACACUAUAACCAUCAAACGCUGUACAGCACAAUGAGACUGUGACCAAAACAACAGAUUAUGCUCAGCUAUUAGAAUGAAGAAGAAGGGGUGGGAGGGAAAAGAAAUACAGCCUAGCCCAAGAAUAUAGCAAUUUGUUCAAUGAUUUUGCUCAUGUAAGACACGCCACAGAGGAGCAGGAAUCAAGAUAUGAGGAAUCUUUUCUCAGAUGGCAGAGCACAGCCAAAUACUGAGCAAGUUAUGAUAAGCCGCCUCAGAAUGGAAAGUCUCUCCUAUCACACCACUGGAUUAUGCAAUUCAUUUGCUUUGCCUGUUAUAAACUCAUUUGUUUUGUGGCCCCUUGAAAGGUCUCUUUUCACACUUUGGACAGUGGUGUAGCAAGGCCAGGUGGUACCCGGUGCGGAAUUUUUUUGUCACCCCCCCAAUACUGAAAUUGAAAUCUAUCAAAUAAAACUAUGCAGGUGAUCAUGAUGCAGAUCCCGCCUUCUCCCCCUCCCUCCCUCCACCCCCCUCCGUCAAAGAAAGCCAUGCAGGUGAUACUGUUACUGGUCCUGAUCCUGCCUUGCCUCGUCAGAGACACGGCUCAUUCUUGCCUCCCUCCUCUCCUCUCCUCUCCACCCCUAAACCAGCGUGUGAUCUAUCUCUCUCUCUCUCUCUCUCUCUCUCUCUCUCUCUCUCCCUCUCUCUCCUCAAACCAGCUGGGCUGCGGAGCUCUCCUAGGCACCACUUCUCCUCCCCACCCCCCACCCCAAACCAGCAAGACUGCUUGAGCACAUAACACAAUUCCUGGCCUAACUACACUGGCUACCAGUUAGUUUCCAAGCCCAAUUCAAAGUGCUGCUUUUGACCUAUAAAGCCGUAUGCAGUUCAGGACCCCAGUAAAGGUAAAGGUAAAGGGACCCCUGACCAUUAGGUCCAGUCGUGACCAACUCUGGGGUUUGCGGCGCUCAUCUCGCUUUAUUGGCUGUGGGAGCCGGCGUACAGCUUCCGGGUCAUGUGGCCAGCAUGACUAAGCUGCUUCUGGCAAACCAGAACAGCGCACAGAAACUCUGUUUACCUUCCCGCCGGAGCGGUACCUAUUUAUCUACUUGCACUUUGACGUGCUUUUGAACUGCUAGGUUGGCAGGAGCUGGGACCGAGCAACGAGCAGUGGGGAUUCAAACCGCCGACCUUCUGAUCAGCAGGUCCUAGGCUUUGUGGUUUAACCCAAGGACCCCAGUACUGUACCUCAAAGACCACCUCUGCCCAUAUAAAGCACCCUGGACCUGGCUUUCAUCAUCUGGAAGAUCUGGAGGGUGAUGAUGUGAAAAUGGACCUUUCCAUUUUGUGGACUCCCUGUUUGUGGAAUGUUCUGGCACCAUCAUUAUAUAAAAAUCAUUUUUAACAAGGCCUUUGCCUCUUAAUUAUCUUUGGCCUUGAGUGGGUGGAAUAUUUUAAUCCCGUCUUUUAAAAAUAGGAUUUUCCUUUAGGGUUUUUAUUUUUCCAUUUAUGCUGGUUUCAAUGUAUGUAUGUGUUUGUAUGUACAUAUAUUGAAAGUUGCUUUGAAUUACCUUGGUAAAAAACCUAAUAAAUUUAAAUAAUAGUAAUAAUACACUACGUCUUUUUGAAACGAAUGAUACAGAGCACACUUAAAUACUGUGCUAAGCUAACUGUCCCAGAACCAUGUACUCCCUCAAGAAGAAGAAGAAGAGUUUGGAUUUGAUAUCCCGCCUUUCACUCCCUUUAAGGAGUCUCAAAGCGGCUCACAUUCUCCUUUCCCUUCCUCCCCACAACAAACACUCUGUGAGGUGAGUGGGGCUGAGAGACUUCAGAGAAGUGUGACUGGCCCAAGGUCACCCAGCAGCUGCCUGUGGAGGAGCGGGUAAUCGAACUCAGUUCCCCAGAUUACGAGACUACCGCUUUUAACCACUACACCACACUGGCUCGGUGGUAGAUUUCAUACAAGCUGGAUUGUAUGAAAAUAAACCCUGAACAUAACCUCAUAUAGGCCCUGUUCUAAGAGCUGCAUUUUAUGGUACUCACUUUAGUGUUAUAAGCCCUAAAUAACUUAGGCCUCACAUAGCUGAAAGACCUCACAGGUGCAGAACCUCACACAGAGGCUCAGCAGAGGGGAAGCUCUUGGGAGUUUCACAGCCCUCAGAAUUGGGGGGGGGGGGUGGCCCAGAAGAUUGUAUUCUCUGUGGAAUCCCCUAAAUUGUGGGGAAAUCCCCAAAGUAGUUUACAAAAGGCAAGCCGGUAAAAGCAAGAAAAAUUUACAACCCUACUUUAAAACGUACAAAAGUUAAAAUACUAAACCAGAUUAAAAUUACCUCAACUUUCUAAGCAUCUGGGUAGGUUUGUUUUUAAACAGGGGCAGAAAAGAGAACUGUAAAUAUAUGUGUGUGUUCAUAUACAGAUGUGCACCUUUCUCAAACUCGAAUCCCCAGAUAUUGUUGCACUACAACUCCCAUCGUCCCUAGCUACUAGGACCAGUGGUCAGGGAUGAUGGGAGUUGUAGCUCAACAAUACCUGAAGGCUGACUGUGGGGCUGGUGUGUGUGUGUGUGUGUGUGUGUGUGUGUGUGUGUGUGUAAGGUGUCCCUUCCCCUUUGAACCACUGGGAGCCAGCUAGGAGCGCUCAUCACUCUCUCUCUCUCUCUCUCUCUCUCUCUCUCUCUUUCCUAGCUGGCUCCCAGUGGCUCAAAGGGACAAGAACGCUGCUGGCAGAGUCAGGGGGCGGAGCCUCUAAGGGAGGCAGGAGCAGGCCAGUCGGGCACCUGGGACCAAGAGCGAGGCAGCCCGUGCCUGCUGCUGCAUUCCAUUUCGAGCCCUUUUGCUCGUGGCUUAUCGGACGUGAGGGCGCCUCCCCGCGCCUUCUUGUCAGUCGCUGGAGGAAGCAAAGGGAGCCCCCCCUCUAUUGCAUGCACCUCCUCUCGCUCCCUCCCUUCCGGGAGACGCUGUAGCUUCACACUCAUUCACCCAGCUCAUUCAAGAGGAGCCUUUCUGGUGCCAUUUCCUGCACGUGCACACCUUCUUGCAAGGUCCUGACACAAAUGGGGGGUGCUUUGCCGGUGCUUUGCCAAUCACUGUAGGCUUGGGAGUUGCGGGUGGGGGGCCUUCAGGGUGGUAUCCCCCUUAAGGAUGGUACCCGGGGCGAUUCCCCACCCCACUCCCCCUUGCGACGCCACUGACUUUGGAUAAGAUCAGGGCUGCUUCUCUUCUUUUGUCUAAGUGUGUGUUUUUCUUUUUUUAAUAUACCGUUUAUUAAAGGUUUUCUUGGUUUAACUUCAAACAGAUGCUAAAACAUCAUGUUGGGGGUGUGGCUGUUUUGCAUAUAGAAUGUCUCAAAAUUACAUGCAGACAAGUGCAUCUUGCCAGAAAUUCGCACCAAAAUGCUGAUAAAUUUCCAUAAGGAUUUUUUUAAAAAGAAAGAAAUGGAAACUGAUAUGGAAACUGAAUAUAAGAUUAGACAAAUGAGAAACUGAGAGAAACCAAAACUGACAUAUUUACCCCAUGCAUCAAAAUCAACAUAUUCUGCUCUACUUGAGUCUUUUGUGGUUGAUGUCUGGGCUGGGCUGAUAUGCAAACCCAGCUGUUGCAACCAAAAUAGUGUGGCCUUUAACCUUUAGAUGCAUGCUGCCCUGGGAUCCUUUGGGAGGACAGGAGGGCUACAAACUGAAUUAAUAAUAAAAUAAAUAAUAAGCAGAGAGACACAGUGAUAUAAGAAACUGCCUUAUAUCAUGUCAGGCCAACAGCCUGUCCGUAUUGUCUACACCAGGGAUGCCCAAACUUUUUUCAAAGAGGGCCAGAUUUGAUGAAGUGAACAUGCAUGAGGGCCGACCAAAGUUGUUGAGCUUUUUUUAGGAUUUAAGUUGUUGCAAUUUUAGCCCAGAGCUUUCUUUAGUAUUUAACCCCAAAAUUGUUUCUUUUUUUUUUUAGGAUUACAUUUGUGAAGCUUUUUUGGGAAUUUUGCCCAGGAAACAAACUUCCUUGGGGGCCAGAUUAAAUUGACUUUGGACAUGCCUCGUCUACACUGUCUGAGAGGCUCCCCAAGGUUUCAGGCAGGACAUUCCUUGUCCUACUUGGAGAUGUUGGGGAUUGAACUUGGAGCAUUCUGUCUGCCAAACAGAUGUUCUCUCCCACUGAACCACAGCCCUUCUUUCCCUGUAAGCUGCGGGCAGGAGGGGAGGAUUCCUUCCUUGAGAAAUACAUCAGCUGGGAGACAUCCUUCUGGCAAUAACCCAGUUUAGUAAGGUUUGAUGGCAUCUUUCCUUUACAGGCAAUUUCUACCUCAUAAUGGAUGAGUGUCGUAUCUCCCAAGAUCCAUUAACGGGUUUAUUUUAUUUCUUGUUUUUUCCUUUUCCUUUUUAAGAAAUAUAAAGUCAGUGAUCACGAGAUGUUGAGGCUGGCAAUGGAGAGGAGGGAGAGACAGCACCUGCCUGAUCAGAAAAUGUGUAAAAAGGGCUCUGACAGAAUGAAACAUGGGACUUCAUUGAAGUCUCACUUUCUUGAUGUGACUCAUCUAUUCUCCAUCCAUCGCACACAGGCACUUCCAGACGAAGCAAAAAUGCAUUUCGAAAGCUUUCACAAGGGCUCAAAAUAUCUUGCUGUGACUCAAAAUGUCAGCCAAAACACAUCCACCAGGACAGCAUAAAUGUAAAUAUGAAUAUCUAUAAUAGCAGGGAAGGCCCCCAGUUCAGUCCCUGGAAUCUCCAGAUAGGACUGGGAAAUGCUCCUUCCUGAACCCCAGGAGAGCGGCUGCCUGUUAGAACAGACCAGCCAGAGCUGCUGUUCUGGUGAGCUGCACUUCCCAUCCUCCCUGACCAAUGGCCAGGCUGGAUGGAGGGGGUGGAUGGGAGUUUGAAUCAAGCAACAUCUGCAGGGCGCCAUGUUGACUAACGGCCUGACACUGCCAAUGCUCAGCUACAUGGACUGGUGGUCUGGCUCAUUACAGGGCAGCUUCCAGGGAGCUCAGGGCAGCACAUCUGCUUUCUUCCCUCACUUAUUGUAUCCACAGAACACCCCUGUGAAGUUGGUUAGGUUGAGACAGAAGGACAGGCCCAAGGGCAGCCAGGGAGGUUCAUGCCCAAAUGGAGAGUUGGGUCGUAUCCUUCCUAGUCUCACACUGGCCUACCACAUCUCAGCAUCAUUGCUUCAUCCAUUGUUGAUAAAGGCAUGUUGCACCAAUCAGAGGGCUUCUUGUUGUGCAGAUGUUUAUGUCCCCCUACUCUGAAAAGCAGGGGUCACCAACCUGGUGCCCUCUAGAGAUCACUGGAAUGCAAUUCCCCAUCAUGCUAGUGGAGGCUGGUGGGAGUUGAAUUUAAGCGCCAAACGGAGGACAUAGAUGAUGCCUUCCUGGAACAGAUGGCCAAGCAUGCAAAAAGAAGGGAGAUAGUAGUAAUGGGGGACUUCAAUUACCCAGAUAUUUGUUGGAUGUCAAACUCAGCCAAGAGCAUAAGGUCAAACAGAUUCCUCACUGGCCUUGCAGACAACUUCAUUGUCCAGAAAGUGGGAGAAGCAACAAGAGGAACAGCCAUUUUAGAUCUGGUCCUAACCAAUGUUGAUGACCUGGUUAGUGGGGUAGAAGUGGAAGGAUCAUUAGGCGCGAGUGAUCAUGCUCUUCUGAAGUUUACUAUACAGCGGAAAGGAGCAGCCAAGCAUACUAGGACUCAAUUUCUUGACUUUAAGAAAGCUGACUUCAUAAAACUUAGGGAAGUGCUGGGUGAGAUCCCAUGGACAGUAAUACUAAAAGGAAAGGGAGUUCAUGAUGGCUGGGAGUUUGUUAAGAGGAGAUAGUAAAAGCACAACGUCAGGCAAUACCAAUGAGACGGAAACAUGGAAGGUGCCUAAAGAAGCCAGGGUGGCUAUCUAAAGAACUUUUAACUGAGUUAAGAUUAAAAAGGAUGUGUACAAAAAUGGAAAAGGGGGAAACCACCAAAGAGGAAUUCAAACAAAUAGCCAGCACGUGUAGACACAAAGUCAGAAAAGCUAAAGCACAGAAUGAACUCAGGCUUGCUAGAGAGGUUAAAAGCAACAAAAAAGGCUUUUAUGGGUAUGUUCGUAGCAAAAGGAAGAACAAAGAAACAGUGGGGUCACUCAGAGGAGAAGAUGGUGAAAUGCAAACAGGGGACACAGAAAGGGCUGAACUCCUCAAUGCCUUCUUUGCCUCAGUCUUCUCCGAUAAAGAAAACAAUGCCCGACCUCAAGAAUUUGGAGCAAAUGAUUCAGCAAAGGAAACACAGCCCAGAGUAACUAAGGAGAUAGUACAAGAAUACUUGGCUAGUUUAGAUGUAUUCAAGUCUCCAGGGCCAGAUCAACUGCAUCCAAGAGUAUUAAAAGAACUGGCAGAUGUGAUCUCAGAACCACUGGCAGUCAUCUUUGAGAAUUCCUGGAGAAUAGGCAAAGUCCCGGCAGACUGGAGGAGGGCAAAUGCUGUCCCUAUUUUCAAAAAGGGGAAAAGAGAGGACCCAAAUAAUUACCGCCCAGUCAGUCUGACAUCAAUACCAGGGAAGAUUCUGGAGCAGAUCAUUAAGCAAACAGUCUGUGAGCACCUAGAAAGGAAUGCUGUGAUCACCAAUAGUCAGCAUGGAUUUCUGAAAAAUAAGUCAUGUCAGACUAACCUGAUCUCGUUUUUUGACAGAAUUACAAGCCUGGUAGAUGAAGGGAACGCAGUGGAUGUAGCCUACCUUGAUUUCAGCAAGGCAUUUGACAAGGUGCCUCAUGAUAUUCUUGUAAAGAAGCUGGUAAAAUGUGGUCUUGACUAUGCUACCACUCAGUGGAUUUGUAACUGGCUGACUGACCGAACCCAAAGGGUGCUCAUCAAUGGUUCCUCUUCAACCUGGAGAAGAGUGACUAGUGGGGUGCCACAGGGUUCUAUCUUGGGCCCGGUCUUAUUCAACAUUUUUAUCAACGACUUGGAUGAUGGACUCAAGGGCAUCCUGAUCAAAUUUGCAGAUGACACCAAACUGGGAGCGGUGGCUAACACCCCAGAGGACAGGAUCACACUUCAAAAUGACCUUGACAGAUUAGAGAACUGGGCCAAAACAAACAAGAUAAAUUUUAACAGGGAGAAAUGUAAAGUACUGCACUUGGGCAAAAAAAAUGAGAGGCACAAAUACAAGAUGGGUGAGACCUGGCUUGAGAGCAGUACAUGUGAAAAGGAUCUAGGAGUCUUGGUUGACCACAAACUUGACAUGAGCCAACAGUGUGACGCGGCAGCUAAAAAGCCAAUGCAAUUCUGGGCUGCAUCAAUAGGAGUAUAGCAUCUAGAUCAAGGGAAGUAAUAGUGCCACUGUAUUCUGCUCUGGUCAGACCUCACCUGGAGUACUGUGUCCAGUUCUGGGCACCACAGUUCAAGAAGGACACUGACAAACUGGAACGUGUCCAGAGGAGGGCAACCAAAAUGGUCAAAGGCCUGGAAACGAUGCCUUAUGAGGAACGGCUAAGAGAGCUGGGCAUGUUUAGCCUGGAGAAGAGGAGGUUAAGGGGUGAUAUGAUAGCCAUGUUCAAAUAUAUAAAAGGAUGUCACAUAGAGGAGGGAGAAAGGUUGUUUUCUGCUGCUCCAGAGAAGCGGACACGGAGCAAUGGAUCCAAACUACAAGAAAGAAGAUUCCACCUAAACAUUAGGAAGAACUUCCUGACAGUAAGAGCUGUUCGACAGUGGAAUUUGCUGCCAAGGAGUGUGGUGGAGUCUCCUUCUUUGGAGGUCUUUAAGCAGAGGCUUGACCACCAUAUGUCAGGAGUUCUCUGAUGGUGUUUCCUGCUUGGCAGGGGGUUGGACUCGAUGGCCCUUGUGGUCUCUUCCAACUCUAUGAUUCUAUGAUUCUAUGAUUUAAGAUGGUUCCCCUGCACGGGGUGCCGAGCCGAGGGGGUGCAAAACAACAACAACAACCUAUGACAUCCUUGCUCAGGGUGUCAUAUUACCAAACCCGACCCCUGAGGAAAGGGAAGGUACCAAAAUAAUAGCAAAUUAACAUUCAGAUAGACAUUUUCUUAAACCCUCUGCUUCCCCCCCCCCCCAAGGCAAAAUAUGUGAAACCAUUCAGGAAGAUUAAGGAAGUGCAAAAUUAUUAAUUAUUUGAUAGCUGUGUUUCUAAUUAUUCUAAGCUGUGUUUUGUUGUUAUUGUUGUUUUGAGAUUCCUUGGUGUGGGAUGUAAUCCACUGGGAGCAGUCAAAUAUAACAUUCCUUGUUUUGCUAGAGUGGACAUGCAAGGAAAUGUUUGGUCCAGCCAGACGAAACUUCCUGUUCCUCCUGGGCUGGAGCAUCCUUCCUUUCAUGUGACUAGUAGGUGGGCGUGACCUUUCCAGACCUGGUAAAAGGCCAAGUCAUGCAGCCACCUCUCUCUCUCUUCGAUCUUCUUUUUCAUCCUGCGAAUUUCCUGAUUCACCUGAACUUUCCCCCAGGUUAUCUCCCAUAUGGGGUAAACCUGUUUGUACAUGUUUGUAACUUUAAGCCUAAAGCCUUCCUUCAGGGAUCACAUUGUGCUCUGCCUGAUCGUGAGUAAAACUACUUUUUGUUACUUAUGAAUAAGACUGUGGUGUCUUUAUUCUUUUAGGAGGCAUCAAAGGGGUCUUACCAGGAAUAAUAGAACAUAUCCCAGUUGGGCAAACCAGAUUGAAUUGUUUAUUGUCUUAAGAGGCUCACAUGCAUCUGCAGCCAGUUAUUUGCUGCGUAAGAAGGGGAAUGCACUCUGCUCAGUGAAGAAACUUGCUAGCGCAAGUUAGGAAGGAUAUUAAUAAUCAAUAUAUCGUCUCCUGUUCCCACACUUAGUAAUUCACCUUGCUGGUGUGGGGAGAGGACACACCCCUACUCUUGGAUAUUUUCAUUUCUUUAAGAAAAUGUUAAUGGAACAUUCUUUCUAAGAAUUCACUGUAUCAUCACCAAAACUGCAAGUCCCAGGAUUCUUUUAGGGAAAGACAUGACAGAUACCUCAGCAGAAACUAAUCUAAAUGUUGUAGCAUUGCUGUGCAUUGAUUAACAUUCUGGCUUUAUUCUGGACUGCAACAUCAUGUCAUAUCCCAUCAGUCAACACAUCUCUUACUGCAAGCUGCAACUCAAUUUUCCUGAAAAGAGAUUCCAGUUAAUGGUUAGAACACCACUAAAUGUCUCCCCCCCCCCCCCACAAAUACAUUAUCUAUUUGUAUCGUCUGGAUCCAUUCAAGUCAGCAAGUUAUCAUCUCACUGCCAUGAGUUGACUUUCUCACAUCCGGUCUGAAAACACAAUGCCCUUCAGUCCGAAUCAAAACUUUGCAUUGAUUCUACAAAUGUCAAAAUCUUUAUAAGGAAACCUUUAAUACAUAUAUUACUUAUUUAGAUUUGAGCACCCUUCCUAUCCCAAGGUUCAUUAAAAGUCAUAAAGUAAUACACUGCAAUGUUUUUGAAUAAUUCAUCUGAAUUAAAAAUCAGCCAAGUCCCUUUCAUAGAAAUUCUCAACGUGCCCGUACAAAUUUGAAUAUUUGCCAAAGGAUUGUCAUGUCAUUUUUAAAAUAAUAAUUUUGAGAAGCCCUGUUUGCUUUUGAUCUAGCAUUAGAUUGUUGGGGUGGGUUGGCAAGGGCAGGAAAGCUUGUCAAAUUCUCCUGCAAGCUGAAAAUUGGUUUCCAAAACAGGUAAGAAUGGUUCAGAUGUUAAAAACCCCUAAUGAAAUAUUGUGCCUUUAUUGUAAGCAUCAUUUUGCCCAAAGAGAAGUCAUGAUAAUACAAGGUGGGGGAGGAGCUCACUGUUAGUUAAUUUGGUCUGUUUAAAAGUACAGGUAUAAUAAAAAGGAUUCCUCGCUUAGGAUCUUAUCAUUAUUACUAUUAUGUUUUAUUAUUAGUAUUUUAUUAUCUCUGCCAAGUUUUAAGUACUGAGAUUAUUAACUUAUCUGCAUCUGGUUACUAUUAUCUUUUUCCCUGUCCUGACCAUCCCCCGAGGUUAUAUUUAUAUUCAUAAUCUUUCAAUUUGGCUGGUCUAUUUACUUAACCGACCUGGAACAACUUACCAGAGAAAAGGCCGCUGCCCAUGGGACAGAGGGACAUUGAUGAAUGAUAAUCCAGCUUUUACCUAGGGUUUUAAUAGGCCAUAAGAUUAUACGGUAACUAUAUUUGUAAUGUAUUUUUGUCGGUGUUUGUCCUUUGAUGCUAUGGCUUGUUGGCUACACAAAUAAAGUCCUUGUUGUUGUUGUUGAGCAAGUACUCUUGGGUGAGAGAGCCCCAGCAGAGAUUUAAAAUCACAAAACAUACAGCAAAACAAAGUUUGGAAAUAUUGGCUGUUAGACCUUUAGAAUAUCCCCUUUUAAGCUGCUCCCAAAGUGAAAAGCAUGCUAGACUGAGAGUCCGGAGCAUUGCUGGCAAGAUAUGUAAAAGAAACGGAUAAAAAUACUGCAAAAAACCUCUCUCUCUCCCCCAGUGGCAUUGCAAGGGGGGGUAGUGCGCCCCAGGUGCCAUGUCUGGAGGGGUGACAAGAAGGCACCCCAUGGGGUGUUCACCCCGCCACCCCCAGGCACGGCGGCACAAGCAACCAUCACACCACCGCAGUCGCAUGUGAAGGAUCCUCUGUUCGUGGCUGCUGCUACGUAUAAUGCAUGCAUGGUGUUGCACGCAUGCACUGUACGUAGCGAUGCCGCACAUGCAGCCUAUGUAGCAACGCCAUGCAUGCGUCGUACGUAGUGGCGCAACAUGUGUGCAGCCUGCAGUUUGCCCCGCCCCGGGUGUCAGUUAGCCUUCGCCCCUGUGCGCUCUCUCUCUCUCUCUCUCUCUCUCUCUCUCUCUCAUCUCCAUCCUUCAUUCAUAAAGGAAACUAUUUAUACUCAAAACUCCAGUCAUUAGUUACCUGUAGUAAAAAUGGAAGGAUAGCAUUCUCUCCCCACAGCUAGUUCUCACAUUCACAAAUAUCAUUUAUGGAUAAGCUUAUCAUCAACGUCCCGAAUCACAGAGAUGAUUUUUCCUUUCCCUCCAAAGAGUGUAUAGUCCACCUUCCCCUUCCCCUGGGCUGCAAAGCAUGGGCACAAUGUGGGGGAGGAAUUUUAUAUGAGCGGGCACAUUUCGUCCACAUUUUUGCAGUGCACUGACCCAAUCCUAUGUUAGAAUCAUAGAAUCAUAGAGUUGGAAGAGACCACAAGGGCCAUCGAGUCCAACCCCCUGCCAAGCAGGAAACACCAUCAGAGCACUCCUGACAUAUGGUUGUCAAGCCUCUGCUUAAAGAUCUCCAAAGAAGGAGACUCCACCACACUCCUUGGCAGCAAAUUCCACUGUCGAACAGCUCUUACUGUCAGGAAUUUCUUCCUAAUGUUUAGGUGGAAUCUUCUUUCUUGUAGUUUGGAUCCAUUGCUUCGUGUCCGCUUCUCUGGAGCAGCAGAAAACAACCUUUCUCCCUCCUCUAUGUGACAUCCUUUUAUAUAUUUGAACAUGGCUAUCAUAUCACCCCUUAACCUCCUCUUCUCCAGGCUAAACAUGCCCAGCUCCCUUAGCCGUUCCUCAUAAGGCAUCGUUUCCAGGCCUUUGACCAUUUUGGUUGCCCUCCUCUGGACCCGUUCCAGUUUGUCAGUGUCCUUCUUGAACUGUGGUGCCCAGAACUGGACACAGUACUCCAGGUGAGUUGGUCAGAAGUAAAGAAGGAUUUGGAAAUAUGGUCAAAAUUGAAGUUAUCAUUGUUGGGCCGAAUUGCUGCGAUAAAGAUGAAUGUAUUGCCUAGAAUGUUGUUUUUGUUUCAAACAUUGCAAAUUGUGGACAAAAUGGACUGUUUCAAGAGGUGGCAAAGAGAUAUUUCUAAAUUUAUCUGGCAGGGCAAAAAGCCUAGAAUAAAAUUUAAAAUAUUAACAGAUGCAAAGGAAAGAGGUGGAUUUGCCCUGCCAGAUCUUAAACUUUAUUAUGAAUCAGCCGCAUUUUGCUGGUUGAAAGACUGGCUACUUCUUGAAAAUACGGACAUUUUGGACCUAGAAGGUUUUGAUAAUGUGUUUGGAUGGCAUGCAUAUUUAUGGUACGACAAGGUUAAAGCGCAUAAGGCCUUUAAGAACCAUAUUGUCAGGAAAGCAUUGUUUAAUGUUUGGGUGAG
This 55022-nucleotide long non-coding RNA is filed under the name Podarcis lilfordi (Lilford's wall lizard). The record is from RNAcentral. Lineage: Eukaryota; Metazoa; Chordata; Lepidosauria; Squamata; Lacertidae.